This is a non-coding RNA of Pelobates cultripes (western spadefoot toad), 50642 nucleotides long. NCBI's taxonomy places the organism in Eukaryota, Metazoa, Chordata, Amphibia, Anura, Pelobatidae. The record is from the annotation of a GenBank genome assembly.
UUUAUUUUUUUUCUCCUCUCCUUCCUGAGCCAGGGAAGAUUGGAGUUCCACUCCUUUUUCUCCCACUUUUCUCCACUCCCUCUGUUUCUUCACAUCCUCCCCUUUUCCCAGUGUUCUGCUGAAGCCUCCCCCUUUCCCAGCCUCCAGAUGAUGCCUCCCCCCUUGUACUGCAUGCAGACCCCUGCCUAGCAGCACCUCUGCAGAGACAGGAGGGAGGGGACCAGAGCCACAAUCAGAAUCACAAUGUAUCUUAUUUAUUAAGGGCUCUCUCGCUUCAACCUUGGCUGAUUUCCACAAGUGUUGGCAAUUUUGGGAGAUAUUUUCUAUUUUUCUUGAUUUUGCAUUUUUAUUGUUCCAAAUGGCAUUACCACAUCCUGGAGCCUGGAUACGUCUAUUGGAUAAGGAAUUCUAGCGGUUUUUACUUCCCUUCAUGAUUUAAAUCCAGGGAAAAUAAAUAAAAGGAUUUUUGGAGAAAAUGGAGAACGAAAUAUUUGCUCCAGUCCUGGAAAAUUUUCUGGCCAGUCCUCUGGUGAUCUGGGUGAGUAAUGUCUGCCUUGAUUAAUGCUCCCUUGGCUGAUUCCAUGCCGGAGUCUUAUCCCUGACCCUUUUCUCUCUCUCCCCAGAUUAAGACAUUUGGAGCCCUGGUAAAAGGCAAUGGGACCCUGCUAGAUGAAUAUGUGGCUCUGGUGGACGGUGUGUUCCUCAAUGAGGUCAUGUAUCAGAUGUAAGUGAAAAGCCAGAUACAUUGUCUAUGCUGCAUGCCCCCAUAUUCCAAACAUAGAAUGUACACAGCAGUUUGUGGAUUAUUGAUGGAGUAUUAGAUUGUUAUAGGUGUCCCAAUAUUUAAGGCAUUUCCCCAUUCUGCUCCAAUAAAAUACUGAUAAAACCUGGCCUGGAGAGAUAUGUCACUAGUAUUGCUGUUGAGUAGACCAGAGUAGGGGGAAUCCAAUAUCCCCUCCAGCUGUUGCUGGCAUACAUUUCCCAUAAUUCUCUGCUUGUUAAUGCCUUUCAGGAAAUUAUGGAAAUUGUAGUCCAUCAUGAGCUGAGGACCAGCUAGGACACCAAUGGGUUAUUGCCAGCUGUCAAAGUGGGAGCCAUCUCACUGCAAUCACCUUGUUGAAGCAGGGCUGUCAUUAUUUACACUAUAAUUUGGUUUUUAUUAACCUUUUCUGGGUCAGUGGGGACUGUCAUUAUUUACACUUUAGUUUUUUAUUAACCUUUUUCAGGGUGAGUGAGGGCUGUCAGAAUGACAAGGGGUUUACCUGUUUCUGGCACUGAAGGGGUUUAAGCCAAAUGUUGAUUGCCUGUUCCAUUUUCAAGAUGUUCUGCAGCAGUCCCAUGUUGUGUUGUGCCGGUGAUGGACUAGUUAAAAAAUCUAUGCUGGCAUUGUCUAUAAACCGCCCUUUUCUGUAGCACACAGGGCACUUUUUAGCUAUUGCCAUGCUGCAUUGUAAGAAAGUGCUGUCCUCCACUUUGUAGGAUUCACAUACUUCAGGAAGGAAGUCUGCCCAAAGGAACCUCCUUGAUUAGGUCUUUGGGUUUCUGAAAUGUAUGAAUGCUGCAUACAACCUGCCAGCACUUUUCAUGCACUGCACAAUGAACACAUUUCGCAUUGUGGGGAAAUUAACAGCACUGUUACUUUCUAUGGGAUUUAUUUGUCCAUUUCUUUUAUUUGAAUUUACCUUUUUUUUUCUUUCUUUUUUUUUUUACCCCAUAAAUUAAAUGUGCCUUACUUGCCCCCUCUAAAUAAGUCAUAGUACAGUUUUGUGAAUUUUCCGUUGGUCACAGUAACAAAUGGGCUGGGAGACUGUAGAUCAGACUCUGUGCUCAGACCAUGUGCCAGCAGAUAUAGCCAACAGUGAAAGAUAAGAUUGUUUUACAUGCAAGUUAUCACUGACACAAAGGAAGCAAUGGACUUCCUGUGUUGCACAACCACUUUAAUUUUAACAAUAAAAUCUAUUUAUACGAUUAGCUAUUAAAAAUAUUCUGCAUCUGUUUUAACACUUGGGUGGAGUGGGCAAUGGAAAGUAAUUUAAAAAAAUAAUAAUUUUUAGUCCAUUUGGGGAAAAACAAACUGCAUCUGUAGUCCACACUUACAGCUCAGUUUGGCCUAUCUAUGUAAUUAUUAUUUUAUUAUUAUUUAUACAGCGCCAUCAGAUAUCGUAGCGCUGUACAAUAUGUAAUCUCCUUGUCAGUUCUUGCCAGUUACUAUUAUAGUCAAUUACACAAUACAAAUUGUAAGUUUAUUGCCAUUGUGAUGGAUUAAAUAAAGAUUUCUUGUAAAAUUAAACAUCCCUGGAUUGUGAGAAAUAUGAAUUAAAAGCAGAAUGAUAUUUUUCUGUUUAUUAAAGGAUCACUAUAGUGUCAGAAAAACAAAGCGGUUUUCCCGACACUAUAGUACCCAGAGGGUGCCCCCACCCUCAGGAUCCCCCUCCCAUGGCGCUGUAAAACCCUUCAGCAGCUUAGCUUAUCCUCCCCCGCUGACGUCAGCGGAGCCGGAUGCACAUGCGUGGCAAGUGCCGCGCGCGCAUUCAAAGUGUCCAUAGGAAAGCAUUUCUCAAUGCUUUACUAUGGACACUCUGCGUGAUGGAGGCGAAAUGUGCCUCCAGCGUCGCAGAUGCACCUCUAGUGGCUGUCCGGAAGACAGCCACUAGAGGCUGGAUUAGCAACAAAUGUAAACAUAGCAGUUUCUCUGCUAUGUUUGCGUCUGAAGGGUUAAAACCUUAGGGACAUUGCACCCAGACCACUUCAUUGAGCUGAAGUGGUCUGGGUGACUAUAGUGUCCCUUUAAUACAUUUUUUCUUUUUAUGAAUACAUUCUGUCUCCUUGGCUUAGAUCGAGAUCAAUGAUCUCAGCCAGUCCAAUGCUUUCCCAUAGUAAAGCCAUGAAAGGCCAGAGCGCAUGCUCAGCAAACCGCAGUGCUGUGCCAAUCAUAUUGCCUCUAUGAAACCAUCUGAUUGAAAUAAAAUAGUGCUAGUGGCAGCCACUAGAGAUAUUUAAACCCUGCAAUAUUGUCACUUGCAGGGUUAAAACUAUAUAGGGAGAUGGCACCCAUAUCACUUCAAUAGUCUACAAACCCCAUAGUGCUCAGCCAGCUACAAGCUUCUUUUAUUAGGAUUGUAGGGCAGUAUGGGACUUUGAGUUUUAUCACAGCUGAUCUACCUACUGAUUACUUAGGGUAGCCAGAUCCUCCAUGGUUUCCUAUUACCGUUUCUCUUGCUGAUGGCCAGCACUAUGUGGCAAGGAAAACCAGUGAAUUAAGGCAAUUCCUCCCUCCUUCUGCAUAUUCAGUCUACAUAAUACUGGGAAGCACUUUUCAUGCAACACCAUUAGCAUGCAGAACAAGUUAACUGUCCAGGAAACCGUUCAUUUUGGAGUAACCCACAUAUGCAUAUAUUCACCGCAAUGUUACAUAGCAACAGUAACAUAGUAAUUUAGGUAGAAAAUUAGAACUCAUGUCCAAGUUCAUUUUAUUUGAUUAAUCUAGAUUUUAGCCUUGGUAAACAUCCACUAAAUGCCAAGGAAAUGAGAAACAACUAACAAAACAGACUACAAAGCAAUGAGUGUGCUGCCCAUGUGGCACUCGUACAGUUAAACUCUUCCCCAAAUCAACCCUGUGCGUGCCCUGUUUGUGAGUUAAUCCAUUUCAGAUGCAGAAUUCUAUCUCUCUCUGGUUUAGAGACUUGUAAAUGUGACCAUUUGUUGCCAGAGGAGAAGCAGGAAAGCAGUGAUAUUCUUCUUCUUACCCCUUGUGUCCUUUUAGAAGGUUAAUUGACUCCUUCUUCCUGUUUCUAGAUUCUGUUAUUACUGUUACAACUAACCCAUUUUUGUAAUUCUCAUGUGUUUAAUGUGAUUCAUAUUGCCUGUUAAUAAUUUAGUCAACAUGUGAAUCAUGUAUCUUUAAAAGAAUUCAUUGUUUACAGCUCUGAUUUUUAAAGGGUUAAUAAAGACUUCCUUUCCCCCCAUGCAGUGUGCUCUGGGAUACAAUUGAUUAAAUGUUAGAUGUGGAUAGAGAUUGGCUAUAGCUCUGCAGAUGAAUGAAUGGGCAAUUGAUUAGAAGGCCUGAGACUUUAUGCAAUGAAUGUAAGAUGGCCAAUUCCUAGCUCGGAUUACCCUGAUGUUUAUGUUUAAAAAUGACCAUAUGUCAAAAAGAGGAAUUAUGUUUUCAUGGCCACUCCUUUAAAUUUUAAUUUUCCACACAUUUUAAGGCGUUAUGUUGUCUUGACUUCUUCUGCCAUAUUUUGUAUUUUGCUUGUGUAAUAUUGCUUGGCAUUUAUAUUGUACUUUUUUCUUAUUUAUUUUCUCUUUUUUAAAAAUAUUUCUUAGUUGUAAUGUAUUUUCACAAAGCAAUGAGCUUAUUGAUUGCUAUCAAUUAGGCUUUUUUAUGUUUUAUUACGACUUAUUAUAACCAUUGUGAUGUAUUCACUAUAACAGGAAUUAUUGACAAUGAUAAAUAAAUACAUAUUUUAAGCCGAAUUGCAAACUUUCUGAUAUUUAGUAAAAAAAAUUUCACUUCGACUUCUGUUAGACUCGAACACGCAAUUCGCAUUUUAGUGUAUAGCCCUUACACGCAUAUUUCUUUAACACAUGGAGGUGACUUCUAAACGAAACUGAAACAUUUUAAGCUAAAUAUUCAAAUUUAGAAAAGAUUCUCCAACUCCGAUAUAGUCACAGCUUGUCUAUUUUAACCUAAAUUUCGUAGUUUUCAGUUCACUUCAAUUCACCAUGACGUCUGCAUUUUGACUUCAAUAGAAUAAGGUUUCCAAUGCCCUGGGCUGAUUCACCUUUAGGUCUCAAUGUAUCUACUGAUGUCCAGUAAGAAAGGAAAUGUGUCAGGAAGAUAUGGGGCCUGUUAGCGCUGCCUUUUAGAAGUAUUUUGCUGAUUGUCAGUAUAUCACUCGUGUGUAUAGAACAGCCCUCGGAUAAAACAGAUGGGCUUACUGAGUCCUUAUUUGAUCUCCUAAAAAUGUAACAUCAGAUUUACAAAUGUUGGCUGAUACCCAAAUGUAUACAAUGUCCUAAAAACUAUGUUCUACUGUAUCUUGAACAGUAUACUGCUUUCUGACUUACACCUCCUGCUUCAUUAUAUUUUCCUCUGUAUUCGUUCAGAGGUAAUACCCCCAUGUGUUUGCAGUGAUAAAUAGUCUGGUUCUUUUCAGAAGUUUGUAGUGCCGAUGCUCUCAUCAAUAAUUUUUAAUAAAUCAUUCUAAAAACGUGUUACUUCAGGUAAAGGCUCCCCCUGGCAGACUUCAUCUGAUGUAUGUAAAGCAAACCGUAAAAUAUAUACUUGAGAAAAUAUUUUAUAAUAAUUCAAAACUCUAGGAUGUCACCUUACCCAGCCCGGAGCAAUUGUGCAAGACAUACAUUUUAACUCCAUAGGUAUGCCCCUUCUCGGUCCCUCUGCUUUGCCCGUGACCUUCUCCUGUCCGCUGCUCGCGCCCGUACGGCCAACUCACGCUUGCAGGACUUCUCACGGGCGGCUCCCUUCCUAUGGAAUAGCCUGCCUACCGCCAUCAUACUCUCCCCUAGUCUUCAAUCAUUUUAAGAAGUGCCUUAAAACCCAUCUCUUCAGGAAAGCUUAUGGCCUCCCAGAGUAACCUCUACCUUACAUACCUGUCUCUUGCUCUCUCCUAAAGGGCCGCACUCUACUCUCACCUCCAGCUCUGCUUCACUCCCACCCUACUUGAUUAUAUAUUUUUGUCCUAAUAUGUUUUAUACCCCACCUCCUAUAGACUGUAAGCUCGUUUGAGCAGGGUCCUCUUCAACCUAUUGUUCCUGUAAGUAUUCUUGUAAUUGUCCUAUUUAUAGUUACAUCCCCCCUCUCAUAAUAUUGUAAAGCGCUACGGAAUCUGUUGGCGCUAUAUAAAUGGUGAUAAUAAUAAUUCUUGGUUGUAUCAUACUUUGGUCACACUGUUACUUGCUAUCAUUGACCAAAUGACAGGAGUUGAAACCUGAUUAACACACCAUGUGUUUGAAAGGUUGUGGAAUGUACCUUAAAUCUAAAGUCUAAUAGUUUUUUCUUUAGUUCUUUGUAAGCUGGCCUGCUAAUGUUUAGGUUUGUUUGUUUUUUGGUUGGUUAGUUGUUUUUUUUCUCCCUAUAAAGGAAAAUACAUAUUGUUGAAGAGUCCAAUAUAAUCUCUGUAAAUGCAAAGUUGCACCUGGACUUUUAGGCUUGGUGCUGCCUGCCGUAGUGGUUGUGGUGAAGGAAGUGCCCUGGCACUAUCCCAAAGUAGUCUGCUAAUCACCAUUUACUUGGAGCCUGCCAGGUCCCCAUGGUGUUUCCAGAUUGUAGUGGUUAUGGUACUUGGAGUAAUUCUUUAAUUUGUUACCUAUGUCAAGGUCAGUGAAGAUGUGACAGCCUUGCUAUUGUUAAACUGCAAUGUCUAUGAUCUUCUAAAUGACAGAAUAUAAUGGAAGUUCUAAUUCACCAGUUGGAGAGCAAUGGGUUCCCUGUCUCUGAAUGUAACAGCCCAAGUGUAUCUGACUGUAUUUUAGGAAACAAUUGGUCACUAGACAACAAAUAGUGGUUAACUGUAAAUAGUAGAAAUGUAACAAAGGCAGAGUUGGAAACUUUUCAGAAUUCACUAUUUUAGCUCAAAUUGUGCUAAUCAGUUUUCAGGUCACUGCGUUAAAUGUGGGUUAUCUUGUAUAAAUCAAAUCAUAGAGAAGUAUACUAUAGUAGCUGGUCUCCAGACCAGGGGUCCGGAGCCUAUGGCACAUGAGGUGCCUUUGCAUAGCACUCAAGACUGCCAGAGACACAAGCAGGCUCUGGCUUAUCAGGAGUCCCAGUGUGACUUCAGAUAUCUCCUAGUCCAAUUCGAGUUGAGAUUCCAGGUGGUGAGAAAAAAUCCUCAAUUUACACAUUGUACCACUUAGAGGAAGUGAAUUCAUAUUACUUCUUCCCAGCAUUUGUGAGGGGGAAUCCGCAGUGGAGUAGAGCAGCCCACAGCAGGUAUCUCAGAUCCUGUCCUUGACCCGUACCUGGUCAGCCCAGUUUCCACUGGACCCUGAGGAAGUCACCCACAUUGCUUGUCAUACACAAAGCAAAGAAACCUCACCCUCAUACAGAACACGCAGCCUCUCGCAUGCAUUACCUCAAGCAGCCCCACACAUACACACACCACCAAACACACCUACACACAAUGUGACAUCAUCCCCCACACACACCCCUACACACAAUGUGACAUAUCAUCCACACACACAAUUCCACAAGCAGCCCCCCCACACACCUACACACAAUGUGACUUCAUCCCCCCACACACACCCCUGCACACAAUGUGACAUAUCAUACACACACACAAUUCCACAAGCAGCCCCCCCACACACACCUACACACAAUGUGACAUCAUCCACACACACAGUUCCACAAGCAGCCCCCCCACACACACACACCUACACACAAUGUGACAUCACCCCCGCACACACACCCCUACACACAAUGUGACAUAUCAUACACACACACAAUUCCACAAGCAGCCCCCUCACACACACCUACACACAAUGUGACAUCACCCCCGCACACACACCCCUACACACAAUGUGACAUAUCAUAUACACACACAAUUCCACAAGCAGCCCCCUCACACACACCUACACACAAUGUGACAUCAUCCACACACACAAUUCCACAAGCAGCCCCCCCACACACACCUACACACAAUGUGACAUCAUCCACACACACAGUUCCACAAGCAGCCCCCCACACACACACACCUACACACAAUGUGACAUCAUCCCCCCACACACACCCCUACACACAAUGUGACAUAUCAUACACACACACAAUUCCACAAGCAGCCCCCUCACACACACCUACACACAAUGUGACAUCAUCCACACACACAAUUCCACAAGCAGCCCCCCCACACACACACCUACACACAAUGUGACAUCACCCCCGCACACACACCCCUACACACAAUGUGACAUCAUCCCCCCACACACAAACACACAAUGUGACAUCAUCCGCACACACAAUUCCACAAGCAGCCCCCCCACACACACAAUGUGACAUGACAUAUACACACACAAUUCCACAACCCUUCCCCCCCACCACCAUUUUUCCUUUUCCACAUUUAACAAAAUGACUUUACUAUCUUUUCAACCAAAUUAUUACGCAGAACCUCCAUUUUUUUUUUUUUUAUUAAUUUGUUUUGUGUGUUCGAAUCAAACUCCAAGUAUCAGGGUGCAAUAUGUUUCCUAUGUUGAAAACCAAAUAAUAAGCGCAAUAAAGUUUCUAGAAUAAAAAUAAACUCCAGCAAAAAAUUACAUCGCAAAAAAACCCGCAAAAAGUGAGUUGUGCUUUAAAAAGAAAAAAAUGUAUUUACUUUAUUUCUCAAUUACCAUUCCAUGUUCCUCAUAUUUGUAAAAAUAAAGAAACAUAAUAUAGUGCAGUAACAUCCCCUGGAUGUUGGGCAAAAGUAACAUCCCCGGGAUGUACUUGAAGUAAUCUGAAUGUACCUUUCUUGGUUAAAUACUCUGUACAUUGAUAGCAAAUGGUCUCUAACUCUGUAGGAAGCCUCUUUCUCGGCUCACCAAUAAAACCUCUAUUAAGUAAAGUGGUUCCACCUAACUGCAAUAAAAACUGGCAGUUCUCCUUUAAAUUCACUAGGAAGAAAGCCUGAGGGAGAGAGAACAGAAAGCGAGAGGAAUCCAAAGGACCAAUGGAAUUCAGCAUAUUUUUGGUAUAGCGUGUUUGUGAGAAUUGAAGUGGCUUUCUCAUCUACCGGUAUUUUAAAAGUGAGCCAUUACAUUUUAGCAUGCAAUAGAGUGCAUGUUUCCAGUUAACCUAUGGUCUGCUUUCUGUUUUCUUCUAGUUGGAUUUAAAAGAGAACUGUCAUUUUAUAUUGUAGCGAGGUGGAAUUUCUCUCCUUAAUAUGUAUUUUAUUGUUUUAGCCAAGGCUUCCUACAGAGUGUGUCCAUUUCUUAUCAUUGCGUUUCUAAUUGGUGCAAUCCAGAUAUACUACACUAUUGUGUUUGUUUAUUUUCAUAUCAAUUAUGAAAUCUGAAGGAUAAUUGAAAAUGAAAGCUGAAUUCAUGUGUUGUUAAAUUUGCCAGCUUUUCACCUUGUUUGAGUAGGCCGUUAUUAUUAUUAUUAUUGUAUAGCAUAAACCGGACUCUAAAAAUAAUAAAACGAAGGAUGCAUUCAUUGUCUAAAAGCAAUGGAAACUCAAAAACAUCAAAAGCGGUGUCCAUAUCAUUUUUGCUUUUUCUUGUAGGUGAACCAACCCUUUUUAUUUAUUUAUUUAUUUUUUAUAAAUUAUAUAUUAAAGGAUUAUACAGACAUUUGAUCAGUUUUUUAAAAACUGUAAAUGUGCCUGAAGAUUGUCAUGUGAAACCCCAUGAUCUAGAGAUUUCUCACUGCAUUUUCAUUUUUUGAAAAAAAGAUUUAGAGGAACAUUUUGGACAACAAGGGUGUUUGUUCAUUAAGUAGGUUUCCAUGGUGAUGGAGAACCUCAAUACAUGAAUGUGUCUGUAUUGGCUGUAUACAUUGUGUUUAUGGGUGAAUUUAAAAAAAAAACCAAAAAACAUGACAUUAUAUGAUCUGUUAUUGCUACAAUUUAUAACAUUGCAUUUGAAAUCUUAAACUGAUUUUCUGCUUUCUAAAUGUACUUUUAUUAUAUUCUUUGCAGUUGCUUCUUUUCCUGUAUUUUUAUUGCCAUACUAUUAUUCUUGAAAUUAGCAUGAUAUAAACAUGGCUUCACCAGAGCGACAGGGUGUAAUUAAGUUGCUACCUCUCCUGAUGAUUCAAAAUGAUUUUUAUUUAUUUUUUUCCAUAUAGGACCCGCACUAUACUGAAUACUAUUGAAGCAUUGUUUUGUUUGCAGGUAUUUUGUUUGUUUAUUUAUUACAAACACUACCGGUAGUUAUUUUUUUCAAUGUUAAAGUGACUCUUUAACUCCCCCUCAUCCCCCCAAUUUUAAAAAUAAAAUUUUAUGUAAAAUGCUCGUAAAGGCUUUGUUGGGAUUUCAUUAAUAUUCCAACACGGUCAGAAGAUAUGAAUAGGGACUUUGUCUUAUGGUAAAUCUCUAAUUUGGCAAAAGGUGGAGCUACCGCAGUAAAGUUAAAUUUUCCCUCUUUCGUCGCUAGACAACAUCUAGGGAGGCUCUCACAGAAUUUUCCAUACGCAUCAGUGUUGUACUAUUACCUGCGCAGCACUGAUGUGAGCUCCUGGAGAAUGAAGCACCAGGAACUGAAGGUCAAAGAUGGCGCCCGCUGGGGCAACAUCCGGUUAGUAUAACUCACCUCUAAUGCACCCAAAGCAGCAAUAUCAUCAUGGAGGUCUUUAAAGCGACUCUGCCUCCAUUUGGGUCAUUGCAUAAUUUACAAAGACCCCUUGUAGUGACAUCGCUGCUGGGUGUCCGGUGGUGCAGGGGAAGGUGUUCUACUCUUCCACCCUUACACGUCACGCUCCUGGUGCUUCAGCUUCCAGGAGCUGUUGUUAGUGCUGUACUCUUGCGCAUGCAUGAUAGUACAACAUGGAGGUCUGUGAAGAAUCCUGUGGCAUCCUCCAUAGACAGAGCCUUUUCUUGCAAAAGCAUAAUAAUCAUGGAUAUAGUAUUUAAUCUAAUGAGCAAUCUGACUGCCAUUCUGGGGUCAAGAAUGAUAAAAAAAAAUUCUAGUUUGUUAAAAAUUGGAAAAUGCUUCAAACUUUUUUUGCUUGUUUUUUUUGCCUUCUUUUGGAUCAACAGCAGAAACCGAUUUGAGAAAGUACAUUUUCCCCAGUCUAUGUUGCUAUGUAAUAUAUGGUUUGAACACAGUGUGAUAGUGAACCAAAUUGUUUGUAACAAAGGAAAAUGUAAAGCUAAUUGCUACUUCCAUUGUUCUGUACAGCUACUCUUUUGGAAAUGCUAUAUCAAGGCUCACCUAACCACAACCCAAGCAAUGUCUCCACACUCAGCCUUGCCAACAUUAUUGAUGAUCAACAUGUCUUCUUUAGCCAACAGGUCAACCAAUACAAGUUGGCCUUUUUUAAAUGUAUUUAUUUAUAUAGAGAUCCCAGACAGUCUGCUUUCAUGUAGAGGUCUUAGAUGCCCUCUAGUUAUAGAUGGGUCCUAGAUCAAUGAAGGCUGACAGUGGUACACCAUCUGGGAUGCAAAGUUGGUGCUAGAAAAGGUUUUAGAAGGUCUGUUUUCAGAAGUCCAUCUUGGCUUACUGAAGGUAUUCCUUCAUCUUUGUCUAUUCCUGGUUUUACCGAGUUGAAAAUGUCUAGUCAAAAGUAAGUCUGUAAAGUUGUGUUCCAGCACUGGGAUUGUGUGUGUGUGUGUAUGUGUGUAUAUGUGUGUAUAUAUAUAUAUAUAUAUAUAUAUAUAUUAAUUAUGUAAUCACCAUUUGCCAUAGAUUAGUGGACUCUACGUGUAGCAAGCUAUGUUUAUCAAACUAUUCUUUGAUGUGUAGCAAACUAUACUUUGUGAUCAUAUCCUUUGCUUCAGCUGUGUGCGCAUCUGAAUAAUAGUGUAGUAUUAUCAUAGGUUGGAGAUAGAACCCAACGUUAUUGCUCACACAACAGAGAUAAGACACAUCCAUAGCUUAAUAAAGGAAUGAUGUCUGCAGUAACAUAUUUUGCUCUCUACCUUGCCUGUCCUUGUUUUAAUUGUGUUUUCCUGUAAUUUAUGACACAGAAAAAUGUGACUGACUCUAGAUUUGGAACUCUGUCUGUUUGAGCAUUUAAAGGCAUACCAGUCCGUGUUUGAUCUGCGUUAAACAAAGCAGAAAAUGGGCGAGAGGGAGUAAGGUUUUUUUUUUUUCAGCUAAAACUGAUGUUUGGUAGAAGCCCUGGAGGGCUGUUUGUAGUUCACACUGUACUCUUUGGCUUUUUAAGAUAUGCCAAGUGCUAUAUUCAUAUUGGAGGAGAAGGUGCGGUGUGUUAAGACUGUCCCAGGCAGUGGAAAAUAACAUCAGACACUGUGCUAUGUUAUGUGAUGGUAAAAUAUUCAUGCAGACAAUUCUGCGAUUCAAAGAGUUCUGUUAAUGCGCUGCAUUGACUAGAAUGUUGCUAUGCAGCACGGAAGCACGUGCUUGGCUUUCAUUGUCUGAGAUGUUAGAGACCCGAGCUUCAGCUUUCAUGAUAUCACAAACAGAAUAACAAUAGUCUUUAAGGCACCCAGUCUCCUUUUAUUCCAGUGGCUGCUAAUACAUUGGAUUACCUGUUCAUACCUUAUAUUUUAAAUAUCACAUUGUGUUAUGGAUUGCACCACCCUAUAAGCUGUUGACACUAAAAUUAAAGGAUCACUAUAGGGUCAGGAUCACAAACAUGUAUUCCUGACCCUAUCGUGUUAAAUCCACCAUAUAGGUUGCUUGCCCACCCUUUAAAAGUUUAAAACUCACUUUAUUUACAGCGCUGCGCAGGUCCGCAGGCUUUGCUCCGCCCUCUUUAUGACAUAAUCAAAAUGGCCGACUUUUAGCCAAUUUAAUGCUUUCCCAUAGGGAAAGCAUUGGAUUGGCUAAAAUCGGCACCAGGGCAGGGCCAAAUGCAGUUUUGGCCGAUCAGGACCUCCUUAUAGAGAUGCAUUAAAUCAAUACAUCUCUGAGGUAAAUUUAGCGUCUCCAUGCAGAGCGUGAGGACGCUGAUCGGCAGGGCUGCUUACUGUGCAGCCCUGAGCCAGGAAGCCCCUCCAGUGGCCAUCUGAGGAGUGGCCACUUGGAGGUGUCCCUAGGGGCAAUGUAUUUUACAUGAAAAUGCCCAAAGGGAGCCAUUAUACUCACCAGAACAACUACAUGAAGCUGUAGUUGUUCUGGUGACUAUAGUGUCCCUUUAAAGCAAAAACAGCUUUAACUUAAUGAAGCAGUUUUGGUGUAUAGAUUAUGCAUCUGAAGUUUCACUGCUCAAUUCACUGCCAUUUAGGAGUUAAAUCACUUUUGUUUCUGUUUAUGCAGCCCUAGCCACACCUCCCCUGGUUGUGACUGAUAGGGGUUUCCAUUUGCUCACUUGUGUCUUGGAAUGGUAUGUGUUGUAUGAGUGUAUAGUAAACUAGAACAAUGUUUGUCAAAUGCCAGAACCUAGUGAGAGAAAAGUUGAAAAGUUAGUGAUGGUGUUUAGUGCAUUCCUGAUACCGAGUGAGAAUAAGGGUCAGGACGAGUUAUUAUUCAGAGGGGAGCCUAGGAAUAAGAGGUGGGGGAAGGGAUUGUGUCUGUUGUUUGCAGCUGGCAGAUAGUAUUGACCUUGACGCUCCCAUAUCACUGCAUUGUGCAGGUAUGUAUAUUGCUUUGGCACCUGGAAGAACAUGAAUUUGCAAGAUUCCAUAGUGAGUCGCUUGUAUCAAAAGAUUUCCUUGGGAAAAGAAAUGCUAUCGCCAUACCUAUGCAUAAAGUAAUGAUGUUCAAAACAACAACAAAAAAACAUUGUAACAACUGGUAAAAUGGAAGUGAUGUGAUUGUUGUUUAAACAUUGUAUAAAGUAGGUGCAACAUUGCUCUGUGCAUCACAUCACUUAAUUGUGCAAAAAUUCUCAACAGUCCAAUUCUCCAUGUACUAUGUGAAAGAAGUGAGCAAAGCCGGAAAACCUAAAAUGUAACCGAAGUCUCCACGUGGGUCUUCCUUUUAAACCUAACUGACUGGAGCAACCAAGGUAGGACUAAAAUAAAUGAAGGUGGCCUUCCAAGCCGGAUUACAUAUUAGAUGGCCUGGGACCCCAAUUCAAACAGGAGCCCGGGGCUUCAGCUCUGGCUUUUAGGGGUCCCACCUUGACCCGGAAGGUGGGACCUCUCUGCUCUGUGCCUUUCACCCUUGGUCAAGGAACCCCCUCCCAUUUAUUUUUUUUCCCUUUCAUCUCAUCUCUUCAUUUCUGGACAUAGCUUGUCUUUUGUAUCUUCUUUCUUCUUUUCCUCCUUUUUUUUUUUCUGUUAGAUAUAUGAUCAGUUUGGAAUGUCCAAAAAUUACCCUAUGUUUGUUCAUCUACCUGUCAUUUAAAUCAUGCAUUUACAUCACUUAUAUGUGGAGAAAAUAGAGAUUUAUGACCCACUUUUAAACAAAACAAAAAAAAGAGCAGCUUCUCAAUUAUAUUUUAAAGUCCUUAGAAAACUGACACAAAAAUGUUAAGUGGGUAGAUUCCUGUAUCACUUACCUGUCAACAUUGACAGGUAAGAAGCAGGGACAAGUUUUGUGUUGUGUGUUUAGUCCCAGUAAUCCUAGAAUCCUGUAAACUAUGUUAGAUCAGACACACACAGAACAUCUGGGCUGGAAAUUAAUGAAAAUGUUUCAAAAUAGUUGGCUAACCAUUUGGCUAUUACAAUAAUAUUCUUAUUCUUAUUUUAUUAGUUAUAAAGCGCCAACUGAUUCCGCAGCGUUGUACAAUAUUUAGACAUGCAGAGUCUACAUAAUUGUUGUAAUAGCCUUUCUUGUUUGAAUUUGUGAGAACUGUAUACAUUCUUAUGUAGCUUUAUAAAGAUAGUAUCUGAGAUUUGUAUAGCUCUGGUCUCAAUUCUACAUUAGUUACUUGGCCAAAAUAAAACCCAUUCUGAGCACUGUGUGCCAGUGUUGUACAUGCUGCUUAAUUCAGUUCUUAUCAGUCUGACUUCUGAACCCAGACAGGAGCUAUGCCAGCUAUGUGUGGUAUUUCCCCUAAAGGUAACAGAAUAAAGUGUCUCCCAAAUCCCUGGAUGGAAUUUGGAAAACGGAAAUGGACAUCCUUGGCACUGCAGAGAUUUGUGAAAUACAUUAUUAUUUAUUAAUUAUUGUAUUUAUAUAGCGCCAACGUAUUACACAGCCCUUUACAUUAUUAUAAAAAGGGGAAAUGGAACAAUAAAUGAGACCAUUACAAAAUGUUACAGGAUCAAUGAGGACCAUGCUCAAAUAAGCUUACAAUCUAGAGGACAUCUAACAGAAAGCCCGGCCAGUGGCGCACACAUCCCCAUUGCCAAAGUACGGCUCUACACGGAUUCCCCAAUGUCUCCCCCGUUUCCUUAAAACAGGUUCUAAAAUUGGAAUUUUGUAUUUAUUUGAGAAGGGUGUUUUUGGGUGCAAGCCAACAUAUUCAUCUUGUUGUUGCCUCCUGUUCUGUUCUGGAUGUAACCGCCGUUCUUUUUCCUAAAUGACUUUCUGUUUAAUAAAGAGGAGCAGGAAUUAAUAUGUAUUCACUACUGAAUAAGGACAGAGCUCUAUUUAUAAAUCUGGGUAUAAAGAUCAUUUCAUCAGGUUUUUUUGGGGGGGUUUUUUCCUUUGCAGAAGGUUGAGCAUAAUCUUGAUUAGCUGCGUUGAAGUAGAUCUAAUUAAACCCAUGUGAUAUUGAUUAGGUACAAUGUAGUGUGAUGCAGUUUCAUGGCAGAGAUUGGAAUGUUUGCGUUAUUACAGUGUUCUGAACGAAGAUCACAUACUAGACUAAUUCAGCAAAGCACUACAAAGAAAUGAAAUUGUGACUGCGCUAUGACAUAACUGCAGGAAUUUCAUUGUAUGCAAUUAUUUGGGAGUUAAAGGGCUCCUCUAGACACUAUAACAACUUUCCAUGAUUGCAAAGGUUCUGUUUGCACAGCUUGCUGAUGAUGGCUUAUUACUGCAGUGAUUUGUAAAAAUGUCUGCAUCUAUAAACCAGCUGUAAGAGCAGAUUUCAUCUUUUACUGUGUCAACACAAGCUGCACAAACUAGUAAGGAAUACAUUUUUCCUCCCUGGAUCAGACGAUGUGAACCGUGCUUUGUAUAAAGUAAUAUCAGGCGCAGUAUCGUCGCAAUCCGUUUACAGAACAGGUUCACUCAUCCUAUGUAAUAUGUGGAUCUGUGGGUGGGGGAUAAUUGUCUUAAUAUACAGUCCUGCUGGAUAGAGACGUAUGGGAUAAGCGCAAACUCCAUAGACCAAAAUUAGAUGCUUCUGAUUGGUGGAGCUUAUUCCUCAUGAGGAAGGAGUUUUCAGAUUGCUGACACCAGCUACGACUUUAUUUUUUUAUUUUCUUAAAGGACCACUAUAGGCACCCAGACCACUAUAGGCAAUGAAGUGGUCUGGGUGCCAGGUCCCCCUAGUUUUAACCCUGCAGCUGAAAACAUAGCUGUUUCAGAGAAAUGGCUAUGUUUACACUGCAGGGUUAAUCCAACCUCUAGUGGCUGUCUCCCAGGCAGCCACUAGAGGCUGCUUCCGCGAUUUACACAGAGUAAAUCUCACUUAUUUGACACUGGACGUCCUCACGGAGUCCAGCAUCAAAAAAGAUCCCCAUAGGAAAGCAUUGAGUGAUAUUUCCUAUUGGCAGGUUUGACUGCGCCUUUGGCUGUGCAUGCGCAUUCGGCUCCACUCGGGAGCUGACGUUGAUGGAGGAGGAGAGGUCACCAGUGCCGAGGAAGCCUGGCGCUGGAUUAAGGUAAGCAAACAAAUGGUUAAUUAACCAUUUAUUUGCCACGGAACAGAGCCCUAGUCACAGUUUAGGUGACUAGGGCUCUGUAGCGUUAGGAAUACAUAUUUGUAUUGCUAACGCUUUAGUGCUCCUUUUAAAUAUAAUUGUAUUUAAUUUUUUUUUCAGAAUAAACUGCAUAUUUAACAAUGCAUAGAGGGAGUGCAAAUUGAAAGUAGAGAGAAAGUAAUGAGGGGAAAAAAAAGAGGAGGGGAGGAAAAUCCACAUAAAAGACAGUACGGGUAAUUCCAGCAGUGAAGUGUCAAUUAGAAUUAAUUUGUGGACCCCUGGGUGUAGCCCCUCAGGCAGGAUGCAUCUCCACAUUUUGUAAAGAAAAUGUGUUCUGGUCUGAGAGUAGGGUCACUAGAUCUAUGGAUAAUAGCGCACUGGAGACAAUUGUGUCAAUUUUGUUUGGUAGAUCAGAUGAGUGGUAAUCCAGCAUUAUUUGGCAAGAUAGAAGGCAGUUCCUACUUAUUAAAGGGACCCAAUAAGUCACAUUAAUACUGUAGCUCAUUUUGGUGGUUCUUGUGUCAGCAGUAUUUGGGUGCAAACCCUGAAGUCUUGUCAAACCCUUUCAGGCCGGAACAUUUGUUGUACAGUCACUUUUACUGUUAGAGGAUUUAAACGUGAUUUUGUUUCUAGACGGGGUGCUAUUUUUAGGAUAAGGUUUGAAUGACAGGUUUUUAAUAUGUAAGCCAAUUGAGGGAUUAGGAUCUAUCUAAUCACACAACAAUAUGCUAACUUGUUUUCUCUUAAUGCUUAUCUAACUGGAGCUGAGGAAACAAUGGUUUUGUAGAUGCUCUGAAGCAUAGCUUUUUCCAGUAAUCAUGGCGGACACAAGUACCUUAUUAAUAUAUCUUUGAUGUGUUUUCUGCUUAGCCUAGCACUGCCUAUCCGAAAGUGUGCCUACUAUGACAUUACAUUCUGAAAAGACAUUGUUAAAGAAGCAAGAGGGUCUUUGUAGCCCCUUAGGACUAAACUAGAGAAUGUUUGUUAUGCAGAACGUGCUUUGAUUUCUGGACUGGCCUUAUUCUUAGGGGCUUACAAUUGGGAAAAUCAAUGCAGCCACACUGACCUUCCCUGCGUUUCUAUCCGUGUACCUUCACGCAUACACGAACAUUGUCUGGUUUCUUGAAGAUCAUAACUGUUUAUAUAUUCUUCAUCAUCUUUUGUAUCAAUAAACCCUGCAACAUUAUGAUGUAAAGUUAAUUUCUAACCCUGUAACAGCAGGCCACUUUCUAUUUUAGGGGAGUUUAAUAUUAACCCGAUCCCAAGGCUAAACCACUUUCUAGAUUCCAUGCUAAAGCUUUAAUGGGUUAAUUGCACCCAGAUGUUUUUGGGACAGAUUAUUUCCUUGCCCAUUACCCAGCAUCAGACUAAACCCACAUGCAACCAGUCUUUGGUUGGAAGUCUCGCUAAGCAGUGCCCCUGAUCCGAGAGAGAAUGUGCAUACCAUCUUAUCUCUGUAAGUGGUCAAACUAUUGACAUGACUUGGGAAAUAAAGUUUAAAGUGGUACAUUAAAGAGCCAAUGUAUUCUUUGUUUUAUUUUCUUGCUCUCCAAAUUAGGGAAGAGUUUUAUUAGUCCUCAGAUGCCUGUGUUAAUUAUUCUGAAAAGCUAGUUACAGAAAGUAAAGCUGUAACAACCCAUCUCCCCUGGGCUAUGCUAUCUGUCACCGUCUGAUUUAUGGAUGGAUGACCCAUCUACAGAGAAGAGGGUACAACCUUGGUCAUUCUCUCCUAUGUGGUUUCCUGAUUCUCUGGAACCUGGGAGUCCUAUAAAUGAAGACAAAAGACUUCCUUCUGUAGAGUACUGUAGCUAAUGGAUUUGUGUCAGUAUUCCUGUACUUUGUCACUAGCUCAUGUGGGUGAUAAAUGCUUCUAAUCUCACCUUAUUUAGUUUGGAAAACUAUUCUUCAGUCUGCGAGCAGUAUAUUAUAUAUGUAUGUAUAUUUCUGGAAUACACCCUGUCCCUUCCCCCCCCACACCCCCAUCUACUCCCUUCUCGUUAGUAAAUUGUCAUGCUGGCUUUCCUCCGAAUUCUCAUUGCAGAUUGCUUGUUUUAGGUGUGGAAGCACAUUCCCUUGGGAUCGAGUUAAUAUAUCUAGUUGCUAUGGUGAUAUAAUUAUCCAGGAUUUCAAUGAGGAUUCUUAAGGAAAUGCAACUUUUGAGUGUGUGUGUGCGCGUGCAUUGUGUUUAAUAUUCUUUCUUAUGGCACCAAGCUUUCUAGAACUGUCUGUAAAUCUCAAUGAGUCAUGUUAAGCAUAAAGGCAGAGUCCGUGAUUUCAAGGUCGAUUGAGAUGAGGCGUUGUAGGGUAUUUCCUUUAGUGAUUUAAUUAUUCAUAAAAAAUCAAUUCUGCUUAGCUUAACAGCUGAAAUUUUGUUGCAGUUGCUGUCUUAAUUUAUGUUCUGUUGAUGCCUUUAUUUAAACAUUCUAAAAAAACAAAACAAAAAAAAAAACCUACAUUGACUUCAGCUAGACACAUGCGAAACAGAAAAAAAUCAUAGAAUUCAUAUGUUUGCCUCAAUGUGGACAAAUCUGGCAACGACAGAUCCAAAUCCCACAUACAAAUAAACAAGUUCUGGCUUUUGUGUAUCCCAAUUUUUAAGCUGAAUGGCUCAAUUGUUUCAUCAACUGGUUUAGUCAAAGUGACUGUCGCAAGCUGCAAUGUUUUGAUACUUUACAGGGUUUGUUCACUAAAAUAAAGAAUUCAAAUGAAUUUAAAGAGAAUUUCAAGUUCACGGUAAAAAUAGCCAAAUUGGAAAAAUUCUCUGUCUACUAUGUUUUCCGUUUGCCUACUCUGGCCUUGAGUUUGAAAUUCGCCUUGAUUCUCACGUUAGUAAAUAAUCCUGUAAAUCCCAUUUUAAAUAGUCCUCAUAAUAAAGACCCUCCCACUAAUUGCACUAUACGUGGCUCAUACAUAUCUAAGCCAAGGAUUGACGGACAUUCAAGAGCAGGAGAACCCUCCAAAAAGUCGUUCCUCGACUCUCCAUCACAAUGAAUCUUCCCAGCGAGCAUUUCUCACGUUUUCGAAGGAAUAUUGACAUUCUGACUAUGAUGAUGAUGACGUGCAAUGAAAGCCGCAUGUCAUCAGGGAGGAUUGCCCUGUUUGGGGAAGUGUCCCUAAGUGCAGACCUUAUACUAGCUGCCACUCAGUACUGCCACAUAGUUGCAUUACUUUAUCUGCACAGUCUAAAUAUUUCCAAGUGGUUUCUUUGCAGAGAAUCUAAAAAACCACUUGUGCUUUUGUGCUAUUUUCUCAAACAUGACCAUGAAUUCAGUUCACACGAAUGGCUUGUACGUUCUCCAGCCUUCAGUCUUAGAGUGAGAGGUUUUAGCAUGAGUGUGUGAAAAUAUUCAGGAUGUGAUAGGGUGAUAUGAAGACUAGAUUUAUCCACUAUACACAACUGGUCACUUUGUGUAUUUGGGGGGAAAAAAAUAUUUAUUUAUUUACUCAUUUAUAGGUAGCUUGGUAUUGGUAUUUGUGUUUUCCUUUGUUUUGUCAAAAAAAGUCGUAUUGGAGUUUAUUCACUAAAACCAAUUUGUAGUGAACUGGAGACCGACAUGCAAAGUUUAGUCUAAAAUAGUAGUUUUGCAGAGAUUGAACUAGAGUUACAUUUGGCAAUCUGGAUGUUCUUUCUUGGUGUAACACAUCCGAGGACAACAGGUCACUGCCCCCAGCCAGCACAGGAUGAGUCCAUCAUUAGUCAGGUUCUGUUGUGUUGGGACACUAGGAUUGUGCAGAGUGUGUAUCAGCAGCACUCCAUUCUUGGAUUAUGAUAUUUUAAUGUUUCUGAAAUUUUAAACACUUUUAUUAAACAUCCAUAACAAGUUAAAGUAAUAUUAAAAACCAUGGGAAGUGACAAUACUCCAUUAAAAAGACCGAGUAUAGAUCGAGCCGGGAUCCCGUGCCACACAAUUUUUAUACUUUGAAUUCCCAUAAUAAGAACCAUUAUAAUUUAAAAAUGCCAUGUAAGUUUGUCUCGAAUUACAAGGGGCCGGUCUGAUUUUAGCAGAUGUAGAUAGGCAUGUGCCAAGGGUCAGGGCCAGAUUAAGAGCCCAGUGGGCCUGGUGCUGACAAUUAUGAUGGGGCCUAAUUACAGAAACUUAUCGACCAAAAACACUAAAACAGUCAUACCUCUCGAGUCAUGUAUCUGAUGGAGUUGGUGUUGGAGGGAAACUCAAAGGAUGCAGCUAUAAGAAAACACAUACUCUAUGCUAAUCUCACAGUGUUCGUGGGCGGGAUAAAAGGGUGCACCACUGACGCGAAUCACGUGACCAGAACUGCCAAAAGGGGCGAACAUGCCCAAAAAGGGGGCAUGUCUGUCCAAAGAAUUGGAAGGACAGCCUGGCAUCAGUGUCCCUAUGUAUCACAGUGUCAAUGUCCCCAUGUCGCCCAGUCCCCUAGUCUCCCAGUGUCUGUGUCCCCAUGUCUCAGUGUGUCCCGUGUCACUAGGAUACUAGGGGACACUGAGAGACCCGGGGACACAGAGAGUCAUGGGGGCACUUGUGAAUACAGAUAUGGGGACACUGGGAGACAUGAGGACACAGACAUUUGGGGACACUGGGAGAAAUGAGGAGACAGACACUAGGGACACAGACAUGGGGACACAGACACUAAGGACACUGGCUGGGAGGCAUGGAGACACAGACACUUAGGGACACAGGGAGAAAUGGGGCACUUAUGGACAUAGACAUGGAGACACUGGGAGGCAUGGGGACACAGACAUUUGGGGACACUAAGGACACAGACAUGGGGACACAGACACUGGGAGACAUGGGGACACAGACACUAGGGACACUGGCUGAGAGACAUAGGGACACUGGGAGACAUGGGGACACUAAGACACUAGCUGGGAGUCAUGGGGACAUUGAGAGAUAUGGGGACACAACACUUGGGGACACUAAGGACACAGAGACAUGGGGACACAGACACUGGGAGACACGGAGACACUAGGGACACUGGACAUGAGAGACAUGGGGACACAGAGAGACAUGGGGACACAGACACUUGGGGACACAGGGAGACAUGGGGCACUUGUGGACAUAGACAUGGGGACACUGAGACAUUUUGGAACACUGGGAGACAUGAGGACACUAAGGACAUAGUGACAUGGGGACACUAGGGACACUGGCUGGGAAACAUAGGGACACUAGGAGACAUGGGGACACUGGCUGGGAGACAUGGGGACACAAAGACAUGGGGACACAGAUACUGGGAGACUAGGGGACACUGGGAGCCAUGGUGACAGACAUUUGGGGAAACUAAGACACUAGGGACACAGAGACAUAGGGACACAGACACUAGGGACACUGGCUGGGAGGAAUGGGGACACAGACACUGGGAGACAUGGGGCACAUGGGGACACUGGGAGACAUGGGGACACUGGGAGACAUGGGGACACUGGGAGACAUGGGGACACUAAGGACACAGAGACAUGGGGACACUGAGACACUGGCUGGGAGUCACGGGGACACUGGGAAACAUGGGGACACUGAGAGACAUGUGCCCCCAUGUCUCCCUUCUGCCUUUCCCCCAUCCUUCACUUACCUGAGCUGUAGUCUGUCUCUGCAGGCUGGGAGCUGCUGUCUGGACUCUCUGUGCUGUGUAGCUGCUCCCUCGUGGAUCAGUGAGUAGAGAGAGGCAGGGAGAUGCUAUAACUUCCUAUCCCUGCCUCUCUCCACACACACUGACCCCUACUGGCCGGUGCUGGUAAAAAUAUUAGCAUUUGUAUUGCUGGUAUUACUGCAGUAUCGUCAUGGCCAGGCAGUCUCCAAUACCAGCUGUGCCUUAAAAUACCAGUCAGGUGGUAAACCUAAGAGUAGUCUGUAAAAAAAAAAAAAAAAAAAAAGUUACUUUUUUUUAUUUCUUUAUUUAAUUUUUUUUACAAUGGGCCUAUUCCAUGGGUCUGGGCCUGGAGCUGCAGCUCCAUCAGCCCCUAUGUUAAUCCGGCCCUGCCAAGGGUCUGUACCUUAGCUGACAUUUUAUUAACUCUUUGCAUAUGCAAUGGGGUUAAUUGACUUUUUCUUUUUUGUUUUGUUAUUUAAGCACUAUGAGCAAUUCAUUUGGACACUGAUUAGAUAUUUAGGAUCCUUGGGUCAUGCAGAUGUUGUUAUUUUUAUAAAAAGAGACACUGUCACCUUCAUAUAAUGGGAUCUGCGAAUAUUCUGCCAUUGAAUAGAUAAUUCAAUUCAGCUCAAGGGUGUUCUGAAAUUUUAAUUUCCUGAUAUACUCCUGGAUAACUUUCAUCGUACAGUAGAUUGCUAUGUGAUACAAUAACUCUUUGAACAUCUGUACAUUGUGACACUCUACAGUCCAUGAAAAUUAGGUCAAUUAAACUACAAACGUGUUUACCGUGUUUCACCACAUUACAGCUGCAGAUUUUAUGUCUAAUUCCUUUCCCUAAAAAUGGGGGUGCAACCAUUAUGUGAAGCUUUAGUUUUUGCAAUAUUAUAUGCGAUCAUUAUGUGAAGCUUUGUUGUUGAUUUUUUUUUAAUUUUUUUUUUAGCAGUUGCUGAUAACACUAUAGCUGCUGAGAACAUAACAUAGCUGCUGAGAAUAUGUACAUUUCCUAAUGCGUGAUAAAAAAUACAAUAAAUUGAUAGGUAAUACAUCCUCUCUAAAGUAUAAGAUCAGUAGGAAGUUCGCCAUCAAUUUUCAAGAAUAAGAAGAACCGCAAUGGUCAGUUAUGCAACCAUUACGUGAUGGCUUGUAUUGGAACCAAUUGUGUGGUGCUGACGAUUAUGCUGUGAAAUACAGUAUUUUUGCAUUAUACCCUAACACAGUAUAUAUAAUGUGAAAUUCAGCCCCAGCAAAUAAAGGCAGAGCUGCCCACUAUGAGGGAAAGGAGUCGUGUUUGUUAGUGUGAUGCCCCUCCGGAGCAUCCUGGGGUGCUCUGGGGUGGAGUACAUGUCCUGGAUUUUUAUUUUGUUCAACGUAAACUUGCGUUUGCUAGUGAUUUGUCUCUGGUGUCCUCCAUAGUGGGAUACCAGAGAACAACUGUGGAACAGGACUGUUAAAGUGUGUUGUGUGUAUGCAUGGAUGCUCCCUGUGGUGUUGUAUGUGUUUGGAGAUUUUGUGCAAUUGCAUGUGUGUAUAGGAGACUGUUUGUUUGUUUUUGUGUAAAAGGGUGUGUUUGUGGCUAGGGGCUGUAGUGUGUGUUUUUAUAGGCCCUGUAGAGUGUGUAGGACUAGGGGGUGUUGUGUAUGGACUGUACUGUGUGGCUGGGGGGGUCGAUUGAGAGCAAGGGCAAGGUGACACACAGCGAGAUGAUCUCUGGUGGUCCAGUGAUUUGGUCUGUACCUCUGCAGGGUACAGACCAUGUCUCUGACUCUCACGAGUGCCAGUAUGACAGAGAUAUGCCGCGGGUUACCAUGGCAUCGCUCUGUUAAUAUCAGCGCUCGCGAGACACAGGUGUCUGGAUGAAUUUUUCCACUCCAGCUUGGGAAUCUCUCCUCUGGCCCAUGAAGAGACCUUGUUCCUUCUUAGGGCCGGUGCAGCCCUGCAUGGCAGCACCUCGGCCAGUGGCCAUCGCGGCCCACUGGGCAUUUGCCCGAUGGCCAGUCCAGGCCUGGUGUCCAUAAUCCGCUACAAGGUAGCUCAAUAUUUAUACUUUGACAAACUGGCACAAAAUCAUGGUUAGAAUUGGUGCUUGGUUUCCAAACCUUUUGUGGUUGAUGCGUGAAGUAUGAGAUCCAGAGGCUGUGCAUUUUCCUUUUUGAUGUUCUUUAUUGCAGCCACCUUAAUUUUAUUUUAUUUAGGAUAAUUUCCCUUUGGGUCUUGGCCUCUGCAAUAGAAAUGCUUGUUUAGUAAGACUCAAGUUGGGUGAUUGACUUUGGUAGUCGAGUCAGGGUUUUACACAUUGAGAAAGUCCUAGGUUGCAGAUUGCUUAGAGCAGAGAUGGCAAGGUGAUGUCUUUCAAUACGUUUUGAAGCACUUGGUUAGGUGAUUCUGUACGCUUCAGCAUUAAUUCUGCUGCUACGCUAAUCAUCCGUAAAGACAAAUGAGACAAAUUCAUUGCCAGCCCAUAUGUUGAAGCCAUAACCUCACAUCCAACAAGUUUUACAUAUGACAUGGAAGUGGUAUUCAUAGAAAUGUGAAUUUUAUUGAAUUCUACUUCCAUGAGUCUGGACCAGGUUAGUCCUGCUUCUUUUCUGUCAUCAAGUCGUGUUUUUUUUUUUUUUGUUUUUUUUAGAAUGCUAAAUGUUUAAAGUACUGUUUAGUAAACUGCAAGCUGGCUUUUGUGUCCUUGGUCUUAUCAGUGGUUUGUCUCUUGUGGUUGACCGCUAAGAUUUCCAUGGUGUAGUAUUUACUUUGGCUACUCUUUAAAAUAAGUAAAUAAACCUAUAACAAUAUCUAUAUCCUGCAGUAAGUGCAAGGUCUUUUAAUACAGCAAUUUUUCAUGGUGUCAGAGAUCGUAUGCUAUUACUUAGAUCACCGGCAAAUUCCCAUCUCUUUAACAGUGUACCAAACCGUUAAUUUUGACACACCUAAUGUGUCAAAAAAGUGUAAUAAAAAUCAGAGAUAAUGCCAGAAUCUCUGAUUUUUAUUACACUUUUUCAGCUUCGCUCUGCUUUACUGGUUUAGGCACUUCUUUCACUUAGUAAUGAGAGACAACAGCAACAGAUUCAAAAUGCAAAUACCACCUACAGAAUCAAACAAAUUACCAAAUAUUUUGGCACCCCAUAAUCUGGAGGGACUAUGUGCUCUGAUAAUUUGGUUUUUGUUUUUUUGUUUUUUUUUUAAAACACAAAUCUCCUCCUUCACUCCUCUACCCGGCUCAGAGUGUGCACAUGCAUUCUGAACCUGCACACGUGUCUAGUCCAGGGAUAGACAAUCUAUGGCACGUGUGCCAUGCACGGCACGAAAGACUGCUAGAGCCAGACAGGUUCUGGCCUAUCAGGAGUCCCAGUGAAACUUUAGAUGUCUGCUAAUACGAAAAGGGGGUUAGGGACAAUCCUCAAUUUAUGCAUUGCAGCACAUGGAGGAAGUGAUCUCAGAUCAAAGAAUAGGACGCAACGGGAUAUCACAAUCUUAUUUUGGUACAGUGCUGCUAAAAGGUUGCCUACUACUGGUCUAGUCAAAUGCGUCUAUGUGAGAAGCAUUUGAUUGGACCAUGGAGAGUAAGGCAGUGAUAUGGUCAAAGGAACAUUUUUACUUUAUUUAAUAGCAAUUUUAUAAAGUAAUAAGGGGGGGUUACCUAUUAACUAAUGUCCAGUAAGGCAAUGUAAAUUAAUUAAACAAACAUAAGAAAAGGGUUAGAGUAACCCUUUAAAAUUGUGAUUUUAGUAACCCCUGUGUUACAAUGAGUAAUAUUCUACUGUUAUUUGAUACCGACUACCAGUUGUCUCUAAAAUGCUUCCUUCCAGUCUUUUUAUAGUUUGUUUCCUUUAACGUUUGUGCGGUUAGAAACACAUGAAUUUGUUUUCUCUGGAGAUAAAAAAUGUUUUUUUUUGUUUUUUUUUUUAAAAUAAGGAAACAUUAAAAUUCAAAACGUACUAUAACUAUUAGGUGUAUUAAUGAAGCAUGGCACGGUUCAAAAACCCACUUAAAUUUUAUUUUUUAAUUUUUUUAAUUUACAUUUAUGCGGAGUACCAUGUGAGUGAUCUGUAAAUUAUAAUAUAUUACAUUUAUUCAAUUGAUUGACAAAUCUACAUCCAUGCAGGUACACAAACUUAUAAAUGUAUAUCUCAACAGUAAAGAUUUCCUUAUCUCUGGCUACUAAUCUUGGAGAGUACAGACACAGUCUUUAGGUAAGCAUGUUGUCUAAUCUAUCAGUUUGCUGAAGGCUUUGUGUGUGUGUGUGUGUGUGUGUGUGUGUGUGUAUAUUUAUUUAUUUAUUUAUUAGUGGUGUGUGUAUGGUGGUUUUUUUUUGCUCAUCCUUGGGUCCUCUAACAGAGGCCUGGGAGUCUGAGGGUUCAGAAGUGGAAGUAGAAGUGUACAUAUCCAGGGCUCAAUUACUGCUAUAUAAAUAUCAUAAUUUCUUACCUGUAAGACUUUUUUGUUUUUCACAUGUUUUGUGAUAGAGUUCUCUUGUAGAAAGUCAUAGUGACUGCUGACAAAAUGUAUUGAGACAAACACAGCUCACAUAGGUUUGCCCUGGAGGCACAACUAGUGACAUUGCUUCCUCUGUUGUGCGGUAAGUUGUCAAUCAGCCCAUAUGACAAGCUAUUGUGGGGGGUUUCAAUAAUCUAAAAUCAAUUGAAAUUGCAGCACAAGAGCAAAUUUUUGCUUGCUCUGCACUUUCCCUCAUUCCUGCCGAUACUGAGUGACCGAUCAGGUCUGCUGGGUGAUCAUGAGGAUUGUAGGUAAAUCGAAGUCACAAAUAGUGACUGUUUGGUUUGACAUACAUGCUGCAUACAUGAUCGCAACUGUGGCUCACAGCUCUCAUCAGGAUUGUAACUUGGACUAAGGUCCGGGCGAGCUGUCUUUCAGAUGCAGCGAUUGUAAGAGCUGAGAGUGGGUUCAGGGUACCGUCUACACCAUCAGCUUUGAUGGUAUAGUGCUAAUAAUACAUUUUAUAAUAAUGUGCCAACAGUUUCUGUAGCUCUGUACAAUGGAACUUUGUGACCCUUUAAAAGAGGCAUUGUAAGACCUUAAUAAAACUGGGAUCAUUUCCGUAUGUGAUUAUUCCUUUUACAAUGGGAGUUUAGGGUUAACAUCCCCCUGUCUGCUCGAACAUCCCUUUGUAGACUGGAAAAGCGAUCUUGAAAAUUUUAGCGUGGCUACUUUUGGACUACCAAUCCCAUCAUGUUGUGCAAGGCUGCAUAAGCUGAAGGAAUCCUGCUCUCUUAGCCUAAACCGCCAUUUAGAUGACGUCCCUAUUUGAAGCCAUAAAUACAAAAUAAAAACACAUUCAUCAUGGAGUCAUUUUCAAAUGUAUUGGAUAUGUGUGUUCAUCCCUAGAUACAGUAAUUGCAUUGUACUAUAUUAUCCUAAUAUACAUAUUAAUAAGAAGUGUAGUAUAGAUGCAGCUAUUGAUUGUUCUUAAAAUAUUUUAAUAAAUACAAAUUUUAAACAUUUGGAAGAGCCUAUUGAUUGCCUUAUUUCCGUAUGAGCUUCAGUUUUGUUACAGUUUCCUAGGUUUAACGUUUGGAUUUCAUUAUUAAGUAGGAAGCACUCAUUUUCCCCAUAUGCUGCCCUACAUUUUAAUCAUGCAGUUUUCUCCUGCAAUUUAGCUGUAAAUCGAUUGGAGUAUAUCAAGUGUCUAGCGGCGCAAAUGAAAACAGAGCAUCAGGGCAUCCCUUGGUUGGGGGUUUGGUUGGUUGGUUGUUUUUUUAAUUAAAAAGAGAAUAACAUGUUUAAGAAGGACGACGACGUAGCACUGUUUAUGUGUGUGUGUGUGUGUGUGUGUGUAUAUAUUUCUUGUCAGAUUUAGUUAAUAUAAGUAUGAUGCCUUUCCUUUUACGAUUUGUUUUGUCUGACCAAGGGAAAUUAUUACCACCCCCGGGUUAGCCCCCCCCAUAUUGAGAAUUUUAACAAAAGAUUAUUCCAUUUGUUAGAUCUUUGUUAGAUCAGGUUUGAUCAACAAUUUUUUUUCGUUAGAUCUACUCUAAAAUAUGCGAUAUUAACAAAUGGAAUAAUCUUUUGUUAAAAUUCUCAAUAUGGGGGGGCUAACCCGGGGGUGGUGAAAUUAUUUUGUCAUCUUAAAAUGUCCUCCUAGCAUAUUUCAUAUAUUAUUCUAUUAUUAUUAACAACAUCUGCACUACAAAUCCACAAGAGCCUCAACAUUCUUAUCAGACUGUGACCAGCUAUUCCACAGGGUGUCUUGAAGCUGGACACACACAGCAGACUGAGAUCACAUAUGAUGUUCUACGACAAACCGUUUGGCAUAUUUUGUGCUGGUUUCACAUUUCCAAACUAGAAAAUGCUGAAGCUGUAUGUUCUUUUCUUUCCUUAGCACGUUCGGUGCAGAGUAAAUUAAAUUCAAGAUUGAAACUGCUGGGAUUUACUUGGAAGGGGUAAAAAAAAAAUGCAAAAUGAAUCCUCUUUUAAAAAUGCAGUUGUCAUGGAUUAUUUAGCACGCUUGAAAGCUCAUGUUAUUAAUAUACUUCCAGAAGACAAGACGCAUUAUUUUGUAACGGUUAAAGCAUGGCCAAUGUUUGCAUAAACAAUAGCGAGCGUGUAUUUGGAUCAUGUGCCAGAAGAUAGGCAGCGGUUUCUGAUAUAUGCAAUGAAAGCACUUAUUCUGUUAGAAGAGGCUUCAAGAUAUACUGAAUCAGAUCUUCAUGUCUGGUGUUUGCCUCUAGUCCUCUGAAAGAGAGAAAUAUGAGUUGCUACUUUGCAGAGGUUAUUAUUGCCCUUUAUGUAUUCAUUUUCAAGUCAUCUGUCAUAUUUGCAAGAGCCUUCUGAUCUUCAAAACUGAAUACAUCUAUUGUGUACCGUAACUGAAGUCUAACCUUAACGCCUCAGAUGUAUGUUUGUUACAUGUCAGCCUAGUGUCUGUGUGUUCACAGCUAGCCAAUCAGGCCAAUCUAUGGAAAAGCCCUCUCUUGCUGUCUUGGCCUGGGAUUGACCUCACUCUGCCAUAUUUCAAGGACUUUCCCUGGUGUGAUGGUGGCACAGAAUCACAAUCUUUGGCAACUAUGGAAAUGUUUUGCCUGUAAAACUGUAAAAAGCAUUUUUAUUUAUUUCUUGCCAGGGCCAUUUUAAUGGCACUGUGACAAACUGCCCUGAAACUAUUUUCAUAUUCACCAACCCCAAUUUGUUUUCCCUUGGUUCGGUAAUUUUAACUACGGACCACCCCCUGGCUCAUUAUCUUCAAAGAAAACAACAAUCAUAUGUGCUCUCAUUGGGUGACCGCAAUUCGUACAGUGAAUGGCGACCAUUUUGUCUACCGAAUGCAGGCAGUGGUACUUGGUCGUUGCAUACGUGCAACUGUAUGACUCAUACCUGAACUUAUCCCCAGUCAUUUUGUACUGUCGCCUGCUUCUCCCACAGACUAGCCAGAAGAGCGCUCUUCAGGGAAAAGAUGCUCCCGAACAAGGGGAACAUUCGCUCCCCACGAGCCAGAGAAACCUUUCAUGUGAAUUCAUAUAGGAGCUCCCGAAGAGUGACCAUCCGCUACCCAUUUUCUUAUGGAACUAUUUUGGGCAGCAGCCACAUGUGUGGUCGGUCAAAACUACAGGGAUCGGAGCACUAUUUGGACAACUUGGGCGCUCAGAUCCAGGCUUUACAGGGAUAUAAGACUUGUGGGGGUUCCUAUUAUUACUGUAUAUGUUUUGGGGUGUUUUAUGUUGUAUUCACUGUACCUCUAGUGCCUGGAAGAUAAUUAGUUUUAACAAAGCAAACUCGCUUAUCUCCCAGACACAGAGAUGCCGGGGCGAGCUUCCCUAUGUUUUUACCGGAGACCCCAUGCUGGGGCUCUGUGUAUAUAAGCAGGCCACUUGGCCAUAAUAAAGCAUUCCAGUUGUACCGUUCAUCUAGUCUCGACUGAUGUUUGGGUAUGCGUUAGAACAAGCGCAUACCAAAAAGAAUCUUGCAGAAUUCGUGAGAGUCCAGAUGAACGUACCACUCUGGGUACAGGAGGCUCGUUACAUGCACAUUAGUGAGAAGUUCUCUUGUUGUGAAGGUCAAUGAUGAACUUACACACUAAACAUUAUGAACUCCUAGAAAUGAGAAUCUCGGGGUAGGAAGAAGAACAGAGGGCACCUGACCGGUGUGAGCAAAGGCAGUCUGUUAAUAGAAUGAGAAUAUAGAUAAUUAUGUAGAUAUAUUUUCCCUGCUCCUUCUUGUGAAUACAUUAUGACAGGGUUUUCAAAGUGCAGAGAUGUCAUAUACAGUGUUAUUUACUUAAGUGAAAAUUGUCAGGAAUUGUGAGUGAAUUCAAAAUAAAAUUAAAAUUUAAGACCAGGGUAGCCAAACUGAAGGCAUAACUGACUUUGAGAUUUUUUUUCCAGUUUUCCAGGAGAAUGAAUAGAGCAACAUAACUCUAUGCUCCAUUUAACCCCUUAAGGACCAAACUUAUGGAAUAAAAGGGAAUCAUGACAUGUCACACAUGUCAUGUGUCCUUAAGGGGUUAAACCUGUUCAGCUUAUCGGAAAACUGUGAAACAAAUAGUCAUUUUCAUAUGUGGUGGAUAAUUUCUGAUUUAAAGUGGCUGAGAGAGAAUGUUGUCCAAAAAGGAAACAUCAUUUUGAAUUCACUCUGUAUUACUGGACAUUUAACUUCCUUUUAAAUAAGUUGAUAGCAUUUGCUAGAUCUCCACUCCCAUUCAAGUAGACCACAGGUGAAGAUAAUGUCACAAUGGGUGAAGUGGCCUUGGUUGGGACGGUUUUCUGUCCAGCCUAAUACCUAUAUUACUGAACAAAAAGACGAUCAUGAAACAUAAGCAAAUUUGGAAGAAUGAGAAUGCUUGAGAUUUUUUUAAUGUACAAUUAUUGUAUUUUAAGAUCAUAUUAUGAGUAUAUACUUUUAAAGCCCAUAUGAGCAGUUAUAGAAUUCAUGAAUUAGACUGUUGUUAAUGUAUGGAAGAAGAUGGUCAGCAAGGAUUACUUAAAGAUACAUUGAUGAGAACCAAGUUCCAUUUAUCAGAAAUUUUACAUUUUCCCCUCAAACUGUGGGCUAAACCUUUUUUUGGAAAGUUCUUAUAACUGCUACGUAGUAGAUUUGACAAAUUAAAUUUGUUUCCUGAUGGACUGCCAAGUGAUUUCUAUUGAAUGAAUAAGAAUAUGUCUAGAUUGGUUCUUGAAUCUAACACAGUAAAGGACAACUGAUGUAAAUACUCAGGGGACCAACUAUAUUAGAUGGUGACAUUCGAUAGUAAACAAGAUUAGCAAUAAAUAGCAUUGAGUCUGCAAACUAUACAGAAAAAUCUACCAUUAAAAAAAAAAUCAAUCUUCUUCUUCGCUGUCCAUCAUUCUGCUUAAUUGGGUAAUAAACUGAAAUUUCACAAGUUGUUGAAAUGUAAUUUUUAAAUUAGAUUAAAAUAAGAGAAGUAGCCAGAUUCAGUAAAUGCUGAAAAUUAAAUUGAUAGAAUUACUAAGAUAACCUAGGGCGUUUCUGCCCAUAUCAGCGUGAUUCAGCAGCUCUUCGUAAGGGCAUCCUUGGGAGUACUGUUGGGCCGGGCAGACAUUUAGCCUCAUGGAAAUGCCUUCAAGAUGGGCGUCCCCAUUAUGGCAACCAGAGCAGGAUUAGCCAUAAAGCUACCAUAGGAGGCCACCCAGUGCUUAGACAGAGGUCCUGAAAGCAUGAAUUUGCUUGGUCCCAAUAAUCAUUCCUAUGUAAAGACUGAAGAGGUGGCAUACUUGUCUUCUGGGCACUAUGGGAUCUUAAUCCUUCUGAGGUGGCACCAUCCCUUGUCUUCUGAGCAUAUAUCUCUCAAAGUUCAAAAAAUAUGACCCAAGAGUGUCAGUCCUUGGUUCUCUAUGUGUUGCUGGACUAGAUAUCUAAUUCUCUGUCAGUCAACAGACAAUAUUUUAUAUACAUGUAAUGAAGGUAUACCGGCACUCUCGUCUUCCCAAAUAAACCUUUAUUUUAUCUUUGUCAAAAAAAAAUACAUUAAUGUUUCAGUUCCAGAAUUAAACUUUCAUCAGGACAGUUAAACAGGUGAAAGAUGACGAAAGUACCAGUCCGGAAGUGAAGUGAUGUGUUUUGCUUGAUAAAGAGAGUCGUAACAUUGCUGUUUUGCCAAUAAAGGGAUAUCAUCUUUUCACUGGACAUCUUUUUUGUUUAUUCUCGUAUGUAUGUAUGCAUGUAUGUAUAUAUCUCCAUGGAUGUAAAUCUCACACCUUGUUGAGUGAAUGGCUAACCUUGGCACCCCAAAGGUUUGUUUUGAAAAAAUGUACUUCAUGUUUACAAUCUAGGCAUUUCUCAGAUAAUAAACAACCUGAUGGUGAAUUUCUUUUGGGUGGAAUGUAAAUUUUGUGACCAAAGUAUUAAAAGUCAGGCUAUUACCAUGGAAACCAGUGGAAUGAACAGGCACAUUUCACUGGUGCUUCCUGGCUUUAAACAUUUUUUUGUUUUUUUUUGUUUUUAAAUUCUAACACGUUUUAAACCAGAACACCUUAAUAAAUCUUUUAAAUAUUUUUGUCCUAAAAGCUAUUUAUGGAAAUGAGCAAAGUAACACGUUCUGGAGUAACACCACACCUUGGCCACAUGUCCCGAAAUUUAGAUGGUCAACUUUGACAAUUAUAGAUGCUCCAAACUAAAUUUCCCAUGUUGCAUUGCCAGUCUUAAGGCUGGCCUUGCAUUGUGGAAAAUGCAGUUCAGAAACAUUUGGGGUAUUAACGCAAGUCAUUACUGCCCUUAAACAGAGAUUGUCCCACAUGUCCUCCUUUGACCAUAUGAAAUGACGGAAGGUUUGCCUUUAAUUGUGUUUUUUAUUUCGCGGUGCAGUGCACAUUUAAUAUAAUAACGAUGAAACUAGAAUUCAAUAUGUUGUUCACCCCUCUUGCUCUCAGAGGAUUACAUGGCAGCUACAGAAUGCUGCGAGAUUCCUCUAAACAUCUGGAUGCCCAUGGUUGUGUAGUUGCCUGGGGCAAUCUCGCUCCGUAAAAUAACAGAAUCUGAAUCAGGCAGAUGCUGAAUGUUUGUUUGCUGCAGUGAAAACCCUAAAUAAGGUAGCAUGAUAAUGGCCUUCUGCAUUUAUACAUUACUUACAAUUAGAAUGUGGAAUCUUAAAUGCAGAUUUAAAGUAUGACAUGUGCACAACACUCUUCCUGUGUGUAGCAAGUCAGCACACUUUGAGUGCAUGAAAUCUGCUUGAUUUUUUUUAGAUUAAGAGGACCAUCUGCUUUUCCCCAUUAGUAUCGUCACUGUCUGUGAUUAACUUUGUCAUAAGUGGACAUAAAUAACAGCUGGAUUUUUAUAGGAUAAGCAAGCUUAUUCAUUGCAGUAUGAAUUUAAAAUUCAAAGCCAAAAUAGGCAAACAGGAAAGAUUCUCCAUGUUGGCUGCUUGGAUGUGCAAUUUGAAAUUCACUUUGAGUUCCUGACAUUUAACACUUUAGUGAAUAAUUCUGAUAAGUUUUCUGCCUUCCAAAUGGUUGGCUCAGGGGUAAGCACUCUAUCUCCUCCUAUUACACAGAUAGAGACACAGAUAUGUACCCUGUCUCUCCCUAAUACACACAAUUUAGGCAAAGACAUGCAUCCUCUCUGUCCUGUACCCAUACAGACAGAAAGAUAGACUUGCACUCUGGUGAUAAACUGCAAGAGUCAAUAGAUGGUUCUUUUUUAAGUAUUAUAAAUGAAAAUAGCAGCAUCCUUACUAAGUGCAAAGUACCAAAAAGCACUCACUUAUAAAUAAAUAAAAGUUAAGAUGUGCUGUGCCUUUAAAAUUACACGCAAAUAUUUGUAAUCGCACAAAAAGUAUUGACACACAAUGUGAUAGGAAGGUGUCCAAAGCAGUACAUAUAUAAAAACAAGAGAAGGAAAUAUUAUAGUGUAGAUAUAAUUCACAAAAACGAAGGAUCGGUCACUCAGGUCAUAGAGGCUCCAUUAUAUACUAUUUGAAACAGAAGACUAUAGUGUCAGGAAUACAAACCUUUAUUCCUGACUCUCUAGUGCUGGUAUGGCAGUUUAGGCCACGUCACCCUUCUCUGUGUAGUGAAAAGGUGCUUAAACUCUCCUUUUUUCCCACGCCACACUGGUCUUGCCAUGGCUGACUUUGUGGCUAAGAUUAUCAAACUUGAUCUCAGCCAAUCCAAUGCAUUUCUAUAGGAAAGCAUUGGAAGGCUAUUGUGCAAUCCACAUCAAUCAGCAUCUCUUCAUAGAGAUGCAUUGAAUCAAUGUGUAGAUGCUGAAUGCCAGUGCUGCACACUGUGCAGCACUGGACUAGGAAGCACCUCUAGCGGCCAUCUGAGUGACUGCCACAAGAGGUGUUACUAGCCAUCAAUGUAAACACUGCCUUUUCUCUGACAUGCUAUGCUAUUAACACCAGAAUCACUACAUUAAACUGUAGUGGUUAUGGUGACUUUAGUGACCUUUUAAAUAAAAUAAAAUAAAUAAAAAAUUAAAAAAUUAAUUGUCCGUGGGUAUUUAGGUAUAAAUCUUGUAUUUAGAGAUACACCUGGUGUCUAGAGUGUCCCUUUAACUUAAAAUAAAACCAAUAAAAUAUUUCAUUUAAAAACGAAUACAGAAAUCUGUAUUUUCGUUCUUCAACAAUAAGUGUAGCAUUAUUAGCAGGCUAUAAGUGUUGCAUUGAGAAGAGGACUACAACCCUGUGUUUGUGAUUUUCCUGAAAACCUUUAAAGGGACACAAUAGUCACCAGAACAAUUACAGCUUAUUGCAUUUGUUCUGGUGAGUAGAAUCAUUACCUUCAGGCUUUUUGCUGUAAACACUGUCUUUUUCAGAGAAAAUGCAGUGUUUACAUUACAGCCUAGUGAUAACUUCACUGGCCACUCCUUAGAUGGCUGUUAGAGAUCCUUCCUGGGUCAUGGCUGCCUAAAAUGCAUCCAAACAUUCAGUAUCUCCUCCCUCUGCAGGCAGACACUGAACUUUCCUCAUAGAGAUUCAUUGAUUUAAUUCAUCUCUAUGAGGAGAUGCUGAUUGGCCAGGGCUGUGUUUUAAUCUUGCUGGCUCUGCCCCGAUCUGCCUCCUUGUCAGUCUAAGCCAAUCCUAUGGGGAAGCACUAUGAUUGGACCAGGCUACCACUUCUGAUGAUGUCAGCAGACUGCUUGUUUUUCUGUUAUAGCUUCAGGCUUCAAUACUGUAAAAUUUUGCUAUAUUUAUGGAGGCAUGAGUGGCCCAGGGGGGCUAGAUGGUGGUUUUAACACUAUAGGGUCAGGAAUGCAUGUUUGUGUUUAUGACCCUAUAGUGAUCCUUUAAUAAAACCUUCCUGUCAUUGUAUAUUAUAUUGUUGUAGAGUCCAUUAAGAAUUGCGUGGCUUUUAAGCUUUGUAACUCCAGGAAAGUUCUGUAGCUAAAGUUAAGUGCCUAGCAUAGCUGCACACUUUUUAUUGUCUAAGCGGAAUUUAAGACCACUUUAUGCAACUGAACACAUAAAACGGCUGACAUUUCAGAAGAUUGCUUUGAUAAUCCAGGAUAUUUGAAUCUGCUUAAAGUAAAUGUGAAAACAAUUUAAGUGUUGGGAUGCGGUGGUCAAGAAGAAAGUAUCCUUGGGCAUUCAGAUCUCAAAGUUCAUUCUUGUGGCCAGAAAAAUGUGCCAGUAAAAUUACUGGUAAACACAUUUCCCGGUAGCCAAUAUUGUUUGAUUACUUUGCAGUCAGAGCAGAAACCAUUGAUGGGCUGUUACAUGCAGUUCUGCUAUAAAAGCAUCUGGUAUGUUAAAUAUUUAACUGCUGUAUCCUGUCCUGAGUUCAUAAUAGAAUACUCAACUAUAGAAUAUUAAAGGAUUGUCAAUAUUCUUCUUGGUAUCCAACCCCCACCUCUAGAUCUUAUUAAUAAAUACAAUUUAUGGACCCCAUAUUACCAGUUUAAGCUAUGCCAGUGGUGUCUUCGGUUCCAUCAUCCAAUAUGUUGGAUAAAAUGUGCAUUGAAAUAAUUGCAAAGGGGUUUAAAGGAUGUACCCCUUUACAAUGGCAGAUGCACGCUGCUGAAAUGUUGAGGGUUUUUUGUCCUGCGUUCAUGAAAGCUGCCUGAUGGAUAAAUAAAUAUCCCUUACGUGAUCAGUGGUUCUCCAAGAGACCUGCCCUGAACACGAUACCUUACGAUUGUGAGAUAUGUAAUUGUGACAAGACUGGGCAGGCCAUAGCGGCAGUGGUAAAUGAUGAUCGGCGCUUUCUAAACCUGGACACUAUAUAGUGGCCUGGGACGGCUUGACAAAGUCAAGAGUAGAUGAAUUUCAGGCCGUUGGAAAGCGUGCAAUUCUGUGUUAAUAUUGGAAUCGGUGUGAUAGUCCAUGGUAUCUUUUAUGUACAGUAAUCAACUGGCCACACAAAUAUUUUAAGUGUUUUUUCUUUUCUCUACUUCAUAGUCAAAUAUUGUGACAAUGUUUGCCUACCACCAGGCAUUGGAUCUUUGUGGGAAUAGAUUUAUGUAUAAAAGCUUCAUUAUAUCUGCAUUAGUCUGGGGUGAAAAAAAAUGGCUUCCUAGCUCAUUCAAACCAUUGAUGGGCUGUUACAUGCAGUUCUGCUAUAAAAGCAUCUGGUAUGUUAAAUAUUUAACUGCUGUAUCCUGUCCUGAGUUCAUAAUAGAAUACUCAACUAUAGAAUAUUAAAGGAUUGUCAAUAUUCUUCUUGGUAUCCAACCCCCACCUCUAGAUCUUAUUAAUAAAUACAAUUUAUGGACCCCAUAUUACCAGUUUAAGCUAUGCCAGUGGUGUCUUCGGUUCCAUCAUCCAAUAUGUUGGAUAAAAUGUGCAUUGAAAUAAUUGCAAAGGGGUUUAAAGGAUGUACCCCUUUACAAUGGCAGAUGCACGCUGCUGAAAUGUUGAGGGUUUUUUGUCCUGCGUUCAUGAAAGCUGCCUGAUGGAUAAAUAAAUAUCCCUUACGUGAUCAGUGGUUCUCCAAGAGACCUGCCCUGAACACGAUACCUUACGAUUGUGAGAUAUGUAAUUGUGACAAGACUGGGCAGGCCAUAGCGGCAGUGGUAAAUGAUGAUCGGCGCUUUCUAAACCUGGACACUAUAUAGUGGCCUGGGACGGCUUGACAAAGUCAAGAGUAGAUGAAUUUCAGGCCGUUGGAAAGCGUGCAAUUCUGUGUUAAUAUUGGAAUCGGUGUGAUAGUCCAUGGUAUCUUUUAUGUACAGUAAUCAACUGGCCACACAAAUAUUUUAAGUGUUUUUUCUUUUCUCUACUUCAUAGUCAAAUAUUGUGACAAUGUUUGCCUACCACCAGGCAUUGGAUCUUUGUGGGAAUAGAUUUAUGUAUAAAAGCUUCAUUAUAUCUGCAUUAGUCUGGGGUGAAAAAAAAUGGCUUCCUAGCUCAUUCAAUCACUCCUAGAACUGAUAUUCUUCAUCCCUGGUUAAAAAGAAUCUUUAUGGUUAUUUUGCCCCUUUGGGAUAUCCAUAAGCCGCAUUCUUGAACUUACUACAUAACAUACAUUCUCUCUCAGCCACACUAUCGUCGUCUUAACUUCAGUACUACAUAAAAUUAAUUUAAACCAGUUUACUUCCAGCAUGUGGUGUUACAUUGUACCAUUCAUUUUCUUCGGAAUCCUGACUAGCCUUCUAGCACUUGACUGAACUAAAUAAUCAUCAUGUUAUGAUACAGUCACCUCAGUCCUUGUGAGCACCAGUGCCGUUAAUCGACUGUUCUACUGCCACAUACCAGACUUUAACUCUUUGAACUCAUGUUGAGCAGAAUACGGGCACUUAAACGGUUAAAUCAGAAAAGUUUAAAGACAACCGGCAGGAAUUUUCAGAGUGUUUGGUAGCCCAGCACUGUGUGGGUUUGUGAUUGGGUUGGUGUUCUGCGUAUUCAGUGGCCUUGUCUGGCUCCAUGGGAUAUUUCCCAGGAACUGUUUUUUUUUUUUUUUAAAUACAUUAAAAAAAAAAAGCUUUUGGUUUUUGCCUACUUGCCAAAAUGUGGCAACCCAUCUAUUCUGCCCUGCGUCUUUACACAGGAUACAUUAUAAAGGCCAUAAUAAUACGAUCGGGACAUCAGCAUAGAUUUAAAUGUCAACAUUAUUUACUGUGAUUUCUUCCAGGAAAUAAAAAAAACUAUCUCUCCAGUGCUUUUAAUGGCAUCUACUUCCUACACUAGACCUAAUCUGCAGACAGAGCAUUAAGCAGAUCGAUUAAUUUAUUCUGACAUCAGUGGUUGCAAAAACAUAAAAUAAACACAAACAUUUUCAGCUUUCUCUGUUGCUCAGACGACGAACACUCAGCCCAUCACUGCACUAUCUUUGGCCACCUGACUUCAGACGAGAAUUAAUCUGACAUGAUAAAAUUAUUGAACUGGAAACAAUCUGGCAUUGGGUAUGGAUUUGGGGAUUUAAGCGAAAACAAGUCAUACACGUUCAAACAAACAGGGAUAUUUAUCAGUGUUGAGGAUGUUAUUUGUGUGUUUGGCAAUAUUGUUUUUUUUUUUUUUUUGCUCAAUUGCUUAAAUCUGUUUUUUUCAUCUAUAAUUUUUUUUUUUUUUAAUGUACACCAAUUUUUUUUUUCCAGCAAUACAACGGAUGUAUCCUUUUUUUCCCAUCACUUUUACCACCAGAAAAUGUUCUUAUUCACUUUAUUUUAUUUUUCUUCUCAACUUAGAAAAAAGGAGACCCUUUUUUAACCAAUCUAAAGAACAAUAUAAUAAAUACAAAUAAAUUAGUUGACUUAAAAAAAAAAAAAAACAUAUUUCAGCACUUUGAUAAAUCUCGCCGAUAUUUCUAAUGUUAAAUUUAUUUAGAACCGUGUUUGCAUGGUUGAUAUGCUAUACUUAUAAAUUUCCCUUUCGACUGUUUGGACAAAAAAAAAUUAAAUUCCCUUUUAAUUCUAUUUGCAAUUCCUGAGAUUUCACACUUUAUGGAAUAACCCUGAUUGCAGAAUGUAUUCCAUAAACACAAGAGUGCAUUAUUGUAUUAGGUUAAUAUGGUCUUAGACAAAAGUGAUGCCUCUCUAAUUGUGAAGUAUUAUCUGUAGGCAGAUGGCAAGAAAUAAGACACAACCUGGUAUACAGUCUGUUUAGGCUCAAGGAUGAAGCCAUUAAGUUAUCAAAUUUCUAUUUGAGGGGUUUUGGUCAAUAGGUUACUAAAUGUACAUUAUUCCUGACCACAUGGGGUCCUCGGCUUAAGUAUCUAAAAUUAGUGUUUAGUAUUUCAGUAGCAAUUUAUAUUUCACGUUUGUCUUUUGUGUGCGUUUCCUCUAUAGUGGAUAUUUUGUCUGUUUAGUCUCAUUUGAAAUUGAUGCAUCUUGCCAUAAGUAGGUUGCUUUUAAAUGUGAAAUGGCUCAAGGCUAUGUUUUACUGCUGUCCUGCCUAUUGACUUCGAGAUGGCUUUGGCCUAUUUUAGUAGGCUAUCUGCCAGUGAGGCAUUUUAAUUUUUCCAUCUCACAAAAGAGACUGUUCAUAGCCGCGUGUAACUAGUGCAACAUGCUGAGGUACCUAGUAUUUAUAACAAAAAAAGACUUUUAUCUGACAAUUCCUGGCUCACAAACCUUUCCAUAUAACCUCCCUUAAGGCUGCACCAUGGGAUUUAUCAGCAGGCAUAAGUCUUUCCAAUCUUGUUUAUUAACCCUUGUUCUGAAACAGGUGUAUGUAAUGUGGCUGAAUGUCUACCUAUUAGACAUUUUUUUUUUUUUUUUUUUAAUAAAAAAAAUUCCUGUUUGAUUAGACACCUAAUAACUCCUCUAAUUCAGGCUUCCCCAAACUUCGGCCCUUCAGAUGUUGCUGAACUACAACUCCCAUGAUUCUCAGCCUAUCUAUUUCAUUCAUAGAAUCAUGGGAGUUGUAGUUCAGCAACAUCUGGAGGGCCGGAGUUUGGGGAAGCCUGAAUUAGAGGAGUUAUUAGGUGUCUAAUCAAACAGGAAUUUUUUUAUUUUUUAGAGUUUUGGUGUGUUUUUUUUCCCUUGUCUAUAUAUCUAUUUCCAGACUUUAUAAUGUAUGGAGUUUUUAUAUUACUGGUGUUAUUUUAUAUUCUAGAAGUAUCAGAAUGAAGAGUGAACGUUUGUUUGUCUGAAACAUUUUGGCCAAUGGGUUAAAGAUUGUUAUAUUUUUUUUUUUUAAACCCAGGUUAUUAAAUUAUCAGUAGAUUGAGUUAGCACACUUGAAAAAGAUGGAUGACUAUAUGGACUUUUCUAUAGUUGGGGGCGAAUAUACUUUAUUAAAGGAAGAAGCUAUUGAGAUGCUGAACAAAAAAAAUGCAGAGUGCAGCUGCUGAUUUUAAUUAAAAAAAUACUCCGAUCUGUCCUGUGAAGAGAAAGUUAAAAGUUGGAACAGCGAAAAGUUAGGAUUUCAUAUGAUCAACAAGCUGAUUUUAUCCUGGCCACACUAGUAGGAAAAUAAAGUUAUUAUUGAUUCAAGAUAAAAAAUUUAUUUUAAGUUGAAUUGUUGGUCGCAAGUCCUAGUUCCCAUUCCAAGCAUAAAAUCCAGAAUCUUGGCCCUCUGAAGAUUUUAACUUAUGGGGUAGAGAAAUGAUCGCAGCAUGUUCUGAAUGCAAUAUAGUAUAAAUAAACAUGAAUGUAACCCGUCCUUAAAGCUAUAUGUCAACUCCAACAGACAUUUGGCAGUCACUCCUAGAGCAAUGAUCCAGUUACACCAUCAGAUCACUGUCUGGUCCUGAUUCUCCCAGACCCAGAAGUUGUGGGUUUUUUUUAGACGUCUCGUUCAAGCACCAUCCAGUCCUUCAACCUCUGAUGUAACAAUCAAACAAAGAAGAAGGGACAGGAGGCAGAAAAACAAGAGCUCUGUGCCUAAGCUUAGCCAAUGAUAAUAUAGUGUCAGGGUAUUGCUAAGCAAUCAAAUCCUUAUAUUGUUAUAAGAACAUACGAAGACACAAAACCAUUGAUUUUAUGUAUAAAAUGUUGAAAUGAUACUGCUUGUGAUGUGGUCCACAGUGCCGAUUUAUAAAGACACAUUUAAAAAGGGUCAUUCCCCAUAUUUUCUGCAAAAAACAAAAAUAUGCAAAUGAAAUAAAAAUUAAAUGAAUUGCCAUUUUUAAAGUUCCCAGAGUUUUUGCCGUUAAACAAGGACCAGAUCUGGCCCUUGGAAGGGAGAAGCAAAACGUCCUCAUUAUAAGAUUGCUGUUUCACGGGGCAGGUAUUUAGAAGUGUAAUUAUUUAAAAUCUCUACAGAUGUACGCUAUCAUGAGUGAAAUAUAGGAAUCUCGGUACUCUUGGCAUCUGGACCUUUGCCAUCAUACAAAAUUGUUCUGGUUCUUAGAGUGAGAUCAAUGGAAUGUCAAUUACAUUAUUGAAUAAGAAAUAGAAAGCCACCUGUAACCUAGGUUAACCUUUUUAUUAUGUGAUACUCUCUGGUAUUCUUGGCCCUAUAGUGCAAAACCCACCAUUAAGGUGGCUUGUCCCCCUUUAAGCAUAAAAAACUCACCUUCUUGCCAGCGCCAUGCGGGUCUGCCGGCAUUGGCCCCGUCCCCUUGGUGACAUCAUCAGAAUUGCUGCUUUUUAGCCAAUGCAAUGCUUUCCCACGGGAAAAGCAUUGGAUUGGCUAAAAUUGGCAAGGGGGUGGGGCCCAACACCGUUUUGGCUAAUCAACACCUUCUCAUAGAGAUGCAUUGCAUCAAUGCAUCUCUAUGAGGAAAAUUCAGGGGCUGCUGAACGUCAGAGCUGCCUACUAUGCAGCACUGAGCCAGAAAGCAGGAGUGGCCACUUGGAGGUGUCCCUAGGGGCAAUGUAAACACUGCUUUUUCUCUGAAAGGGCAGUGUUUGCAUGAAAAUGCCUAAAGGCAAUAAUUCUACUCACCAGAACAACUACAUUAAGCUGUAGUUGUUUUGGUGACUAUAGUGUCCCUUUAAAUAUUUAAAUAGUUCACUCCAGGUCAAUCAGGGCACAUAAAAUAAAUAAGGAGGAGGAACAUUGUGUCUCUGUAUACUUUCUCUAUGUUGACUGCCAGGUGCAAAGGACAGAGCUUAUAAUUAUGAUUAAAAGGGAGCCAAGAUGGAGGCGCCCGAUUGCAGGAUAAAGAGGUUUAGAUUUCUAGAUUUAAAGGAAAACUUUAGGGUCAGGGACAGAAACAUGUUUUCCUAACCAUAUAGAGUUAAAACCACCAUCCAGACCCUACUUGCCCCCCUAAGUAUAGCAAAACCUUACCUUAUUUCCAGACUACUGCUGCUAGCUCUGCUCCUGGUCUGCUUGCUUGGCUGACAUAAUCAGAAACAGAGGUCUGAGCCAAUCAUAAUGCUUUCCCAUAUGAAAGCAUAGGACUGGCUGAGACUGUCAAGGAGGCAGGUCAGGGGCAGAGCCAGCACAAGUCAAACACAGCUCUGGCCAAUCCACAUCUCCUCAUGGAUCAAUGCAUCUCUAUGAGGAAAGUUCAGUGUCAGUCACAUUGUGCAGCACUGCCCCAGGAAGCACCUCUAGCAGCCAUCUAAGGAGUUGACUGUGGAGGUAUCCGUAGGCUGUAAUGUAAACACUGAAUUUUCUCUGAAAAGACAGCGUUUACAGCAAAAAGCCUGAAGGGAAUGAUUCUACUCACCAGAACAAAUUUAAUAAGCUUUGGUUGCUCUGGUGACUAUAGUGUCCCUUUAAUUUUACAUUUGACACCUCACAAAUACAUAUCUGUUAUAUAUGUAACCAUAGUGUUAAAAGUCCAGGGAAAUGACAGUUCCUGUUUAAUGUAUCAAGUGUUUAAAGGAAAUAGUUGAGUGAUUCUAAAGUAACUGCAUUAGAUUGGUCUGUUUCUAUGUUUUUCUUCCACUUUAUUUGUGUGUGUGUGUGUGUAUGUAUAUAUAUUUUAAAUAUGGUAUUCUCAAAUGGAUAAAAACACAUCCGUAAUAAAAAGUUAAAAAAAAAUCUGUGAUACCCGUUGAGAAUGUCCGAAACGAAGUGUAAAAGUUUAAGUGUUAUAAUGGAAUCCUCACUCCAGGAAAAUGAUAUCCUCACAGUAUUGUCUGAGUCUCUUCUUAUUCCAUUUAUGUCUGCGCUGUAAGCUCUUCCAGCUGUCAAAACCUUAUUUGGCAACUGGGAGUCGUGUGACUGGGGUAUAGAAUUAAAUUAAAAAGUAAAGGAAAAUCUUUCAGUACAUUGUUUUCUGGAAGCACUGCUUGUAUUCACACCAGCGGACGGUACAUGUGGGAUAUUAUUCAGCAUCAAAGUAUUCUAAAAUCGAACACAAUACAAAUGGCUUCACACUCCCUUUCCCGUCCCCCUGACCCCCAAAUAAUGACUCUAUUAUUACUGCCAUUUGCUGUAACUAAGACAUUCUUGGUAUCUAGAAUUUAGUUAAAUGCACCUCUUUUUAUUAGUUGUCUCUGCUACGCAGAUUGCAAGUCUUAAAUUUUUCAUUGUGCUGCCCUUGUUUUAUAGGUGUUUUUUGGUAUUUUAUUUUUUUUAGUCGUUAAUGACACUGUGUAACUGCAUUGACAUUAAGAAGAGGUUGAGAUAUUUUAUUUUGUUUUCCCCCUCAGAAUAAUAGCUUCGCAAAUUCCUUCCCUUCCAAAAUGGUACUUGGGUAACCAAGUGGGCUAAACAAAAAACGUCAGAAAAGACCUACAGCAUAGCACAAUGCAUGGCCUUUGCUUCGCUUUUGUGUGUUUUUGUCAUGAAAUGGAUCCAAAUCUUCAUAACAUUGUGAUUGCUCCAAAAGCUACACACAGAAUGAUGAAGACAAACUGUGUGAAACGGUUAUUCCGCACAUUCAAGUUCAUUCUUUUGGUUGCCUGGCACUAUAGGGUGCUACAGUGCCCCCCUCACUUGCGCCCCCUCCUGCAUCGCUAAAGGGAUUGAAACCCCGUCAGUCACUAAUCUGAAUCCAGCGCUGAUGUCCCACAGCGCUGGGUCAGGCUCCAUCCACCUAAUGCACAUGCACUGCAAUGGCAGCGCUAGCAUUAUGAUUUCCCCAUAAGGAAUGAAUGCUUUCCUAGGGGGAUUCCGGUGAGCAACCAAAAGUCGUCUAAACACCCGGAAGUCCCUCUAGUGGCUGUCUGGUAGACCGCUACUAGAGUAGGAGUUAACCCUAGCAGGUAAUUGCAGUUUCUCAGAAACUACAAUAAUUACCACUGUGGGUUAAAGGAUUUGGAACACUGCACCCAGACCUCUUCAAUGAUCUGAAGUGGUCUGGGUGCCUACAUUGUCCCUUUAAGUCCACUACUAGAUCGCAGGUCCACAAUUUCGAUAGGUUCUAUGAUAAUUUAAUACGGGACACAAACAUGCUAGCUGCAAUAAUUAUUGCUUAAACUGCUUCCAGAGACUUAUUUCAAAUAUGUGCUACUGCUUUCCUUUGGUCAUGUCCAAACUGGCACCUAAAAAAAUAAGAAACCGUGCACACACAAUAAAAUACAAUAAAUCAGUUUUGUAUAUACAGCCAAACGUCUGCAUGUUCUGGGUGUGCACCCCAAUUCCCUUUUUACCUAGACGCUCAUAAAUCAUAUACUUCUGUGGCAGACCGAUUGCAAGAUUUCAGAAUGUAGCAUCCGGUGUUAUGAAUGUUCAUUUUGCUGCACUUUGUAAUAAACAGUUGGGAUAAUAUUUACCAGCUGAAGACCUGCUGGUUGUCUCCACAUACCCGAAGAACACUGCAUAGAUUGGGGUUAAGACGAAAGAUAAAAAAGGACAGAAUAAGAUAAGAUUAUUUUGCUGAUCCCACCAUUCUUCCCAAUUUAAUAUGUUUGUCAUAAUACAGACUAUUGAUGGGAACUGCCAUGGGCUGUGUUUGUCAGAUGUGUUUCCAAUUCAGCUUUCUUUACACAGUCUACAAUAAGGCAUUUCAACAUUUACUGGUAUGAUUUCCACAAACACACCACAGAAAGUUUUAUAUAAAAAUCGACUGAAAGGCUGAGAAUUACAAACUUGGAACAUGGUGAGGUUGACUUUAAGACCAGUGUAAAAAGAGUUUUAUACUUUAAGCAUCUUAAACGGAAUAAAAUAUUUACACCACAAAACAUUGACAUUCAUUUAACUGCACUAGUAUAUUCACCAGCUGCACCAACCACCAUAUCUUAAAUAUUUGGUAAUUUUUUUAAUUUAAUUUAGUUUUUUUAAACUUUCCUGAAUAAAUCAGUCAAACCAUCUGUUCACCCUUUCAUUAUGGAAAUAGCACACUCAACACAUUUUAUUCAAGAUGAGCUAAGUCUUUCCUAGAAUUGAAAUGUGUGUAUUGGCAUGUGUUCCUUUUACGUACCUGGAUGGUAACCGAUGAUUUGAAUUGCUCAGUAAAAAUGUAAACAGGACCAUAAUUUGGACUCCUUGUGUAUCUCUUUUCCCAUCGAGAUGCAGUUGCUGGUUUUAAAUUCAGGCAUUGUUCUUUACGAUUUAGGAUUCCAGACCUGAGCUCCCUGAGACGUUUUUUUGCAAAUAUAAGUAUUUACCAUAGAUACUGAUGAUGUGAUGAGUCGGGAAAGGGUUAAAAAAAAAAAGUAAUUUAUUUAUGCAGCAAAAUCAUACUAAAAAUGAACUUAAGGGGACACUGUAGGCACCCAGACUACUUCAGCUAAGUUCUAAUGCGCACGCGGCCAUUUCUGCACAUGCGCAUUGGAUUUCCCCCGGCGGCACUAUAGGAUCCCUUUAAAAUGAGUUAUACCUACUGCUUUCAAUCCACAGCUGCAUUUACAAUGACUGUAUGGGUCAAGGAAACCUGAAUUCUUUUAUCCUUAAUUUAUCACAUUUCCCGAUCACUAGCUUUUUACAUAACUAGUUUGGCAAAGUUUCCAGUUUGUAAUUAACUGCACCUGUAACUGUGCUUAUCUUAGUGUUCGUUAAAAUCCAGCUUGUUGCAUUUCUUCAUUAGUUCACCUAUCGCACAGCAGUACGGGAUAUGUUGGCACGUUAUAAACCACUAUAAAUACUAUUAAUAAUUAUAAUAGCUCGAGAGAAAACCUUAGGAUUUAGCAGAUCCUGACAUUUAUCCCCUUAAGGACAGAGGCAAUAGCCCAAGUUCUGAACCAAAACAAAACCUAGAAUUUGAGCUAUAAUUUACAUCUUUCAUAUGAAGUACACCCACACUUGUUAUAGAUCAUUUUGUUCCAGCUUUUAUUUCAAAUCAAAUAUUUAUAUUUAAUCUAUAUAACCAAGAGGACUGCAUUCACCUGAACAUGAAUACAUUAUAAGGGUGGUGCUGGGCCCAAUUCACACAACACCCAGCACACUAAGUCAUUCACCAAAUAGCAAUUUCAAAGCUCACAAAAUUAUUUUUUUUAUUUUUUUUUUGGUUUUCUUGUUUAAACACCUAACCGAUGCAAAAAUAAUGGGGGUUUAGUUACAGUAAAUGAUCUUAUAUUGAAUGAGUGAGGCUGUCCCCCCAGAUCCAGCGAGGUAAGUGUAAUUCGUGGGGCACUUCACCGACAUCAGGACGUGUUAUUACACCCUAACCUCAUUAAAGCCCAUGUUAGGGUUGUAUUUGUGUCAUAGAUAUUCAUGAAACCUAUCCAAAUGCUGGAACAGUGCCAGCAAACCUUGGCUGAACCUGGAAUAAUACUUGCCAUUAUUUCCUAUUUUAUGGUUAAUAAUUGUCAUGAUGAGGCUGCUCUAUAUGAUUUUUUUUUUUUUUUAUAUCCUCUAUCUAACAAAUACAUUUUAACUGCACAUGAUGCCAAGGGGAUGUGUUUCUCUUGUAGCAUUUUAUACACCUAUACAUGAAUAAUAUAUAUAUAUAUAUAUAUAUAUAUAUAUAUAUAUUAAUUAUAGUGUGUGUUUAUAUGAAUGCUUUUCUCCAGUAGCCCACUUGUAAGCAGCCUGUCCCAGUUUCCUAGCACUUGAAGACCUUGUCAUCCCAGGCAGUGUGCUCUUGGUUCUUGUUACUCCCAUGUAUCUGAGGUAGGCGAUCAUAUAUUUUGUUAGGUGUCUAGGGACACGUACUUGUGGCAUGGACUGACCAGGAUUCACACCUGGUGACCUUUCCAGUUCCAAGUCCAAUAGUUCUACUCAGGGCUGUGUGGAGUCAACAGAUUCCUGAUUCUACGGUCCAGAAAAGUGCAGUUCUAGGAACAGCUAAAAUACUUGAGCAGAACCCUUAGAUUCCCAGCCCUCUGGAAAAAAAAUGAGGGAUACUUAAAGGGAUCCUAUAGUGCCUGCACCAUUUUCCUGGCAAUAUAGGUUUAAAAGGUGCCCCCCUCUCUUGCAGCCCCAAUUCUGGAAACCCUCUAGUGGCUGUCUGGUAGACCUCUAAUGAGGGUUGACUUAGUCCUGUAAUCUAAACAUUCCAGUUUCUCUCUGGAACUGCAGUGUUUUACAUUACAGCAUUAAGUGCAAUAGGGACACAGCACCCAGACAACUUCAGUGAGCUGAAGUGUCCCUUUAAUAGCACACCCGUGUGUUACAAGUUGCAAUAUUGACAAUACAGAGAGAGGAAUAAUCCAGUUAGUUUAGGUAACAGACAAACAAUAUCAAAGUGGGUCACUUCCCACAAUUUUCAAUAUUAUGUUAACGUAUCCCCUAAGUUUAACACAUAUAGUUGUGUGGCGUAGCAAAUACAAUUAAAUGCAAAAAUCCACAUUGCUGCUCUGUUCUAGUGUUUACAUCUUGGCUUUCUUCUGGUCAGUUUUUUAUCAAUUGUGCACCUGGCAGUCAGAACAGACAGGGAAACGAUUCUCCAAUGCUGAGAGUGUCCUUGCAGUGCCAAGACUGAAAUGGAUUUUGAUGUCAUUUUCUAAAUCUCUUUUAUAUAAUUUUAUAUAAGAAUAUGAAGCAUUACAUAAAUGUCAGGAAGCCUACCUCUGGUGGGACUAGACUUCCUGGUUCCAACAUUCUAUUGCUUUGCACUGCUUGCUGGAACACUAUGGAACCUGAUAUCCUCAUGCGAUUCCAGACCAUUGUCAGGUUUUUGACCCACCUGAUUUUUCUGAUUGCUAGUUUUUGUAGCGUAGUAAUCGGGUGCUUCCUUUCUGCCUUGAUUGCUACCAGCAAGCAGGAGCCAGUCAGGUACAGGGCCUCUCUAUUUAAGCCCUGGGCCCUUUCAUGUCUCCUUUAUCCUUAGUGAUAUUUUGCUCUGAUCCUGUUUCGUUUAUCUUUUUCCUUGGAUUACCCAACUAUGUUCUGCUCUCCUGUCCUGCUUCCCUUCUGCCUGUUUUUGUGUACCAGUUCCUGGCCUGUCUGACUUCCCGUCCUGUGUUCCAGUCCCUGGCUUGUUCCUGACAUUGUAUAUCUCUGUGCUCCUGACCCCUGUCUGUGUCUGGUGUUGUGUGUUUAUUUUUUUCCCCCUCUCCUGGCCUGUAGUCUUUUCAUUUAUUUUAAUUUUGUUACUUCCUAGUUCCUGUUUUAUGUUAACCUGGGCAGCCAAAGGUCCCGUAAUAAACCUCUUCCUAUCCCUCUGUCUUUGCUUUUGUCAGGUCGCUGCCUCUCACCUUGCUGAGGAUCCUCUAGCCAACCCUGACUAUAAAGAACACUUAACACAAGUAUUUUAUUCAAUGGUAUAAUUUCCUGAAAAGCUUUGGUUCCCCUUUUAAACAAUUAAGUGUCCUUGGUAAGCAGGUAAAUGACUUAUUUGGACUUCAGUUUCAAAGCAUAAAUUUAGAAUAAAUAAAAGAACUACCAUAGAAGUGUUAAUGUGAAAAUGUGAAUGUAUUGACAGAUUGGGUGGCAUUGUUCUAUGAUCAGAACCUACAAAUUCUCAUUUUUCAUAAUUACUUCUCUUUAAAGGGACUAUCCAGUGCCAGGAAAAAAAAAUACGUUCUCCUGGCACUGCAGUGCCCCCUCCCUCCCACCCUCAUUCCAUGUCGCUGAAGGGGUUAAAACCCCUUCGGUGACUUACCUGAACCCAGCGCCGAUGUCCCUCGGUGCAGGGCCAGGCUCUGCCCACGCUCCUCCCCUGCCGACGUCAGCCGGCGAGGGAGACCUAAUGCGCAUGCAUAGCGUGACGACAUCCAGCGUCGUUUAAAACACUUUUUGUGUUUUAAGAACACGGAAGUCCCUCUAGUGGCGUCUGAUAGACCGACCCUAGAGGGGGACUUAACCCUGCAAGAUAAUUAUUGAUGGGAGUUUGCACCCAGACCACUCCAAUGGACAGAAGUGGUCUGGGUGCAUGGAGUGUCCCUUUAAGCGAACUCCUGACUACACUGGCCACCUUUUCAGUAAAGCUGUGCUUUCUGUGAACUAUGACUCAUUCACCCUUCAGCAUUAGCUGAGCUUCACCCCUGAACCAGUUUUUAUUAUUAUGAUUGGUAUAUUAAAGAAGUAUUGGUUUAUAUAAUUGGAGGAACUUUUGUUGCCUGAGAUUUCUAGUUACUUUUACGAAGCCCCUUAAUGUUAACUCGUUCGACAAAUCCAUAAUGCUAAUCCGGAUAGCUUACAGGUUAUGAUUAUUGAUGGAAUUGUGAACUGGGCUCUAGGGCAAAUAGAAUACAAAGAUUAUUACAAUUGGAAACCAAGUGGAUCUUUAAAGGGAUUCUAUAAUAUUAGCAAUACAAAGUUGUAUUCCUAACUGUGCCCUCUGCCCCUCAGCCCCAGCACAGAAAGCGUUAAAACCCCUUUGUUUAUUCACCUGACUCCAGCGCCAAUGUCUCUCAGUGCUCGGGUUGGAGCUCCGCCUCCUCCGACAUCAUCCAAUGGGGGGGGACCUAAUGCUCAUGCGUGGCGAGAGCAUUGGGAUUGAUUCAGUGCUUUCCUAUGGGGUUUUCACUGACACUGGAUGUGCUCAUGCAGAGUUAGGAUGUCCAGCAUCAUUUAAGUGAUUCAGACUCCGGUAAACUCCAGGAAGCUCCCCUAGUGGCUCUGGUAUACUGCCACUAUAGGCUAUCUUAGUACUGCCAUGUAAAUAUUGCCGUUUUUUUAAAAACUGCAGAGCUUUACAUUGCUGGACUAAGUGGGACAGGGACAGUGCACUCAGAUCACUUAAUUGAGCUGAAGUUAGAAACAUUAAGUCAAAAAGGUGAUUUUACUCACGUUUUUCCAGUGCCGUGCGGGUCCCCCAAUCCAAUGCUUUCUCUGUUGCGCCGGUGAGAAUCUCCUCAUAGAGAUGCAUUGACCCAAUGCCUCUUUGUGGGGAAAGUUCAGCUCCUCCAUGCAGAGUGUGCAGUAAGCUGUAGUUGUUCUGGUGUAAAUUGUGCCCCUUUGAACUUGUUUUUUCUUUUAAACAUUUUUUUUAUGCUGAAAUUUAUAUAUCUCGAGUUUUAUUGUAUUUUGUUUUUCAUAUACAUAUUUUUGCGCUACCUGUCAACUUUAUGAUAGAUUGAAGUCACCCCUGAACUUUACCUUAUUCUGUUUUGAAAUGUGGCCAUUGUCUUUCAGCAACAUAUAUUUUCUAAAUCUGAUAAGGACAGAAGAAUACAAUGUUUUGUUUAGUAUUUAUAGAUUAUUCCAUUCCAUGUAGUAGGGCAGUUAUUUCAAGCCAUCAGAAUUUCAGUAAGAAAUUAACUUGGGCUAAGGUAUAAAUAGAUUUAAAUUUAAAAAGUUUUGACCACCGUUGUAGUAUAAGGGAUUGUAAACAUAGCGCUAACACACCAGUUAAUAGCAGAAGGUGGCAUUAUGAUCUAUAAUUAUUAUCCUAGAUGUUUUGGGCAAUCACCCCUCCUACGUUGAAUUGGAAAAUAGUUUGCAACACUUCUUAAAUUCUAGGAGACAAAAUGGCUGCACAGCAUGGAUGGCCCAGCUGUUAAAAAUGUAAAACUGCCAUGAUGCUUUGCCAACCUAAGACUACUGAAGCUUCAGAGUUGUAGUUUCCCCUGAACUGCAAAUAUGUCACAAGUGAUGGUUCUUUUUCUAUUUUAGUGUCCUCCCAGUAAUAACGUCAUACUGUAAAUUGCGGUUUCUCACACAAACAUAAUGAAUAUAUAUUUUUUAUUUUAAUUUUUUCAGAAAUCCUAAAGCAGACAAUCAGAGAAUUUAUAAAAAGAUCAACAACGAUGCUUCCCUCAGGAUACAAAAUUUAUCUGUGCUGGUGAAACAAAUCAAAUCAUAUUAUCAGG